UCGAUGUUUAGUUGAGAUUUAACUCUUUUCUUUCCUCCCUGUCCCUCGUCCACAAUCAGUAGAGUUAGCGGAUAAUUUAUUUAUUGCUUUUGUAUAUACCCAGAUAUGAAAGCAUAAAAAGUUUGAAUGAUUGAUGUUAAAUGUUAUGUCGAUCGUCUUUUGUGCAUUUCCCCCGCCCAUUGUAAAACGUCAAAUUUCGAGCUAUCCUUUUAAUUUGGUAACUUGUACAGACGGUGUUUCAACAACCAUUGUACACGAUUCUGACCAGUUGAAAUGCAAUGCAGUAUAAUUGAUUGACUGAUAGCAACAAGUAUCAUAGAGCAGUUAAUAUAUGCAUAGGAAAGUAAAAUUUUGUUCUGUCCGAUCCAAAAAGGGUGCGACAAAAGGGUUUCCGUCUUCCGUAAAAAAGUUGAAUAAUAGUGAAAUAAAAUAUUUCUGUCCGAUUAAAAAAAAUCUCGUCGUCCAUCCAAAAAAAAAGCGUGAACAUUAUUUCUGUCCGAUUCAAAAAAAAAAGUUGCGAAAAAAUGUUUUCCGUUUCUCUUUCUCUAUCUCUAUCUCUAUCUCUUCUGUACUCUCUACUACUUAAAAAAGAAGAGGUGCUUCCAUCGUCCGUAAAAAAAACCGGGUGAAAAAAAACCAAGCAGAAAAAACUAGGUUUGUCCGAUAAAAAACUAGACGAAAAAAAGAAGUUCGAUCCAGAAAAAAAAGGGCGAAAAAAAAACCUGGGGAAAAAAACCAGGUUUGUCUGAUAAAAAACCGGGGAAAAAAAAAGUGCAAACCAAAUCGAAUCCGAUUCCAUCGACACGGUAAAAGAAAAAUCGGGAAAAAAAUGUAUCUGUCCGAUUCCAAAAAAAAUGAAACAAACUCCCAUCCGUUUCUGUUUGGGCUGAUUAGGACUUUGUUUCUGUUUGGGCCGAAUAGGACUUGGUUUGAAUUAUACCAAGUCCUAUUCAGUAAGCAUCACCAGGAGAACAAGUGCAUAUCUAUCUACUACUUCUACUACUACUUAAAAAAUAAGAGAUGUUUUCUUCGUCCGUCACAAAUAAAAAAUAGCGAAAAAAAUAAAAAAAGAAAUCCGAUUCCCCUUAUAAAAAGGAAAAACAAAAAAAAAAUCAGAGAAAAAGUAGCGAAAAGACAAAAAAAACCGUAGUCCGAUUCCCCUAAUAAAAAGGGAAAAAAAGUUGUUUCCUUCGUCCGUCACAAAUAAAAAAAUAGCGAAAAAAACUAAAAAAAAAGAAGUCUGAUUCCCCUUAAAAAGGAAAAACAAAAAAAAUCAUAGAAAAAAUAGCGAAAAAAAAGCAUAGUCCGAUUCACCUAAAAAUGGUGAAAAACAAAACAAAAAAGUCAGAUUCGAAAAACAGAAAAAGUGGCGAAAAAUUUUUAUCAUCAAACAUCCAGUCUCCAAAAUUUUUAUCCUCUUGUAUCAUGGGCCAAGAAUCGAUGUUUAGUUGAGAUUCGACUCUUUUCUUUCCUCCCUGUCCCUCGUCCACAAUCAGUAGAGUUACCGGAUAAUUUAUUUAUUGCUUUUGUAUAUACCCAGAUAAGAAAGCAUAAAAAGUUUGAAUGAUUGAUGUUAAAUGUUAUGUCGAUCGUCUUUUGUGCAUUUCCCCCGCCCAUUGUAAAACGUCAAAUUUCGAGCUAUCCUUUUAAUUUGGUAACCAUUGUACACGAUUCUGACCAGUUGAAAUGCAAUGCAGUAUAAUUGAUUGACUGAUAGCAACAAGUAUCAUAGAGCAGUUAAUAUAUGCCGAGGAAAGUAGAAUCGGCUAAAGACUGUUGGGACCAAAGAGCAUAAAAGGCUGUGAGUGUCUACAACAGAGAUACAUGGGUACGAUGACACUUUCAUGACCAUGCUGUAAUCUCCUGUAGACCGACCGGUCCACGAAAGGAUUAGGAUGCAUCAGGAAUGAACAUUCCACUAUCUGCACUUUCCAUUCGGACUCACGGCUUCGUUAAUUUGCUUCAGACAUCUCUUCCGGUUUGAGUUUAUCCCAGAUGGUGAGGUGAACAACCAUGUUACUGUGUCCCACGCAGUGCAAAAUAAAGAUGGUAAUUUGGACCCCUUUUAGUUUAAUUCGAAAAUUCGUGUACCUGUUUCCCUCCGCUUGUGUUUCAGUUCAAAAUUGUCCAUCUAUAUUCAUUGUCAAACAGUUCAUAAAUGUGUGGUGAGACAUAAGCAACCAGUUGCAGUGUGAACAUCCUACGAGUAGGACCAGGGUCAGAAGACUCAAAGGGGAAGGCCAUAAACUGUAUCAUAGAAGCAGAGACCCAGGCACAGAGGGGUGAUGAAGUCUGAAUAUAUUACAACCAUUUUAGUCUGAAUGAAAGUCUGACCAAAAUAAUACAUUAUGAGACAACAAAAGUUAUGAAAGCAAAAGAUAUAGCCUUAGAUGUCACCCCUUUUGCUUAUUAAUAUAGGCGUGAGAUAAGUAUAUGUAUAAUUCCAUUGGCUGUUUAUAUCCUUCGUGGAUAUAGAGAUCGGAUUAAUGAAAAUCCAUUAUCUAAAAAAAGUAUAUGUAUUUUCACGAAGGACUGCUCGUGUAUAUAUAAGGCCAUGCUCAACUGUUAUAUAUAAGCCUGGUUUGUGUUCCCAUAUAUAGUUCAUGCUAACAAAUUUGUGUUCCCAUAUAGUUCAUGCUAACAAAUAACUGAUCUAUUCUAUUUUUUUUCUUAUCCUCUCUCAUACUAAGAGUUGAUGUUUGAUGGAAAGUCCACUCUUCUCUCUUCAUUAUCUCUAUCAUCCAUAUCAGCUUAGACUUAUGGGCCAGCUUAUUUAUUGAUAUUGUACGUACCCUAAAAUAAAGUGUCAAAGAAUAUAGACGGUUGGUAUAAAAAAUUUACGUCGGAUGUUGUGUACACUUGCACCCCCCCCCAGGAAACAUGACCACUAGUACACAAAAGAUUUUUCCGUGUGGUCAAAAUGCAUUUUUCCGUGCGGAGGUCCCACCCGUCUGCUCCCAGGUGUGUGCGAAAAUCCAUAUUUUCGCGUGCGGGCGACCCAACUGCAUGGGAUAAUCCAUCUUCUCGUGCGGUUGGGUUAAGUGGACUGCACGGGAUAAUCGAUUAUCCUGUGCGGUCAAAUUAUAAUGCCUGCACGCAAAACAAAACGAAAAAAAAUAAAAAACAUCAAAAACCCUAACCAUAUCCCUAGAAUGGCCUGCCGCGCCGCUCGUGGUCGCCAUUGUCCUCAUGUCGUCGCCGUGAUCGCGCCGCCACCGCUCCCGAGUCCGCCACCGCUACUGCCCGCCGCCGUCGCCGUUCCCGGGCACCUUUUCCUCCUCAUCGUCGGCACAGCGCGGAUCCAGCCACUUGCCCACCGUGCCACCCCCCGAGUUGCUUGUAGCCGCCGCGCCGUCUCUGCCAACAGUUGUCGUGCCGCCCGCUCCCGGCUGCCGCCUUGUCGGCAGCGGCGGCGGCAGCCGGACGCCUCCCACGCCCCGUGUGCUCGGUGGGGAGGGGAGGAGCUAGAGGAGAGCAGAGGAAAGGCACAUAGAGGAAAGAGAGAAAGAGGAGUGAUUGAGAGAGAAUAAAAAGGAAAAGGAAGAGAGAAGAUGAAAUAUUUGAAGUGGGUGAGAGGGAAAAGAGGGAGAUAAAUUUUCGCGUGCGGUCCACUUAAGAGGCCCGCACGCGAACAUAUGCUUAUUUUUGCGUGCAGACCGUUAAGAGACCUGCCUGCGAAAAUCGAUUUUUGUGUGUGGAUCUUUUAAAGGUCCGCAUGCGAAAAUAGAAGUUUAAUUUUUGCAGAUGCAUGCGAAAACAGUCCGUCUAGGAAAAUGGAAGCUCCUUGUACAGGAAAAUGUUUUGUUUACUAGUGGAAAUUUUGAGUUUUGUUUUAAAUUUGGUGAGUUGUUUUACGGACGGUAGCAGUACCAUUGUACGUCAUAUUUACUGACUGCUAGCAACUACAAUCAUGGAGCAGCUAAUAUAUACACAUACACUUGGAAUUAGAAGCAUCUCAAGAGUGUAGGACGAUCAUAAAAAGCUGUGAGCAUCGUCUGCAUGGAUACAAGUACAAGGAUAUACCAUGACAAUUUCAUCAUCGAGUUGAAAUCUCUUGUAGACGAUAUAGGAUUAGGAUGCAUGGGGAAUGAGCCUUCGACUAUCCACCCUGCCCAUCCGUACUAACAGCUUCAGUAAUUUCCUUUAUUGGCUCUAAGUCCCUGUUUUAGCUUUUAUUUGAGAGUGAAGUCAACAACCAUGUUGUUUUUUCCCACGCAGUGUGCAAAGUUGGAAUGGUGAUUUUGUAUCGAUUUGUUUUCUGGUUGGAGCAAUGGAAAUAAAACUAGUGACACCAAAAUUAUUAGUACAAAUUUUGUACCUUAUAGUACUAGAGGUACCAAGAGAUACUAAGUUUUACACUAGAAAAAGAAAAUAUGGUAUUUCCUAAAUGACUGCAAAAUCAGUUAAAUUAGAUACAACAUGAGGCCGAUGGAAAGAGGGAUAAAGUUAAUUAUAUAUGGGCAAGCCAAUUAAUUAACUUGGGCUCUUAAGGUUUUGAUGAGGAGCCAAUGUUAAGAAUGUUGCAAAUGCUUGUAAUCUUGUAAGCAUUGUCAUGUCUAAUUGUUGCAUCAGUUUGGUAGUAGCUUUGGACUCCCAUCAUGCACAUAGUGGCUGCAAAAUAGCAGAACAUGUGGUUUCCGUCAUCGGUUUUCUCUCAUUUAUUUCACUAGGGAAGAUUGAAGCGGAAUCGGAUCGUGGGAGGACACAGUCAGUAGUUGUUUGUUCCUAUAAAAUCGUGCAUGUAACAACCUCCUAUACAGAGAUGAAUAAAAGGAAGAAAUUAAAUCUCUGGAAAGCUGGAAACAAUCCGUAACACCAACUGUCUCUUUGGUUCUGUUCUUUGGUGUCUUUUCUCUGAUGUUUUUUUUUUUUUGAAAGGUUCAGACUUAGCUAGAUAGCGUGUGAGCGCGAGAUCCUGAGAAUUUCAAUAUAAUUUGAGUCCUAAUUUUAAUCGGGUGGCCUCUUAUUAGCAGUAUUGUGUUACCAAAAGAGAUUAGAACAAGAGGCAGAUUAUUCGCUUAUUAUGCUUAUACUUAUCAUCGAAAAUUUGAUUUUUAACUUUAAAUUUGAAGUUGAUUUUGAGGAUUUUUUUCAUCGAAGUUUAUUUUCCAGCUUUUAGAUUGCUAAGAGAACACGUAUAUAAAAAUUUUAUUUACAAAUUAUUUUCAGUUUGCAAAUAUAUCAUUUGGCUUAUUUCGCGAAUAAGCGAAACAAUGAGUCCUUAGUGUAUAUAUUAAUUAUAUUUCAUUGUUUCCAGAUGUAGGUUGAAUUACGAAUCAAACCAUUUAAUCUUCCAAACAAAAGAAUACUCUGAUUAUUUCGCAACCUCACUAUAUGCAGCAAGAGAGGCAGAUAGACAAGUGGCUAAUGCUUUGGGGUAACCCGGGUAAUAGCGGACUCCAUCGCUGCCGUUGGGGAUGAACUAGUUGUAGACCGCCGGUAAGCGCACGCCAAGGCCUCCAUGUCCCCUCCCACGGCCAGGAAACACCAAUGUUUGCAGCUGGAAAUCUAGCCCAGCCAGUGGCAAAAUCCAGCUGGAGCUGUUUGGUUGGAUUUGUGGUUAUCUAGCAAGUAGUUGAACAUUUUCGAAUCCCAACUCUGUAGCUUUUGAUGCCAUAUGUAGUUCUACUUACAUAGAUAUAUAAGGUAACAAAUUUGUAAACAAACAAAAAAUAUGUUGAUAUUUAUUUGCUUGGCUUGUAUAUGCGUCCAAUUCAACAAACAAGAAACUUUGCUGACAAGAAAUGAUCAGGCAGUAAAUUCGGAAUAAAUUGGCAAAUUUUGCUACAGGACAUCCCGACUUCGUGGUUUUAGCUGUAGGACACCGCACAAAGUCACUUUUGGGGAAAGACACUAUCAAAAUAUGGUUAUUUGCCAGGGGACACCGCAGCCAAUAAAAUAUUAAUUUCUGGUUCAAUAGGAGAGAUAAACAAUGUAAAAGGUCAAAAAUGCCCUCGGGCCCGCUUGUCAUAUUCUUCCCCCACCCCAAACCUCCCUCCUUGCCUCCUCUACCUCCACCGGCGAUGACGUCCUCACCCCACCCACGGCCACGAGCAACGAGCUCGGCGCUGGGAUGGGCGGCCAACUCGGCGCAGGGGGAGGCGACGCACACCGACAGCGCCCACGGCGGCGGCCUCGCCAGAGCUCCGCCACGAAUCGAACUCGCUGGGUUGAGAUGAAGAAGCGGAAGAGGUGCGGCGGUGGCACCUCCGCCGCCUUCGACCGGAGCGUCUUCCCCAUCCUGCUCGCCGCCAUCGCAGCCGGACGGCGCUAACCCGCGACCCCAAGCAGCCUCCGCCACCGCCCGUCGCCAUCCCGCCGUCCCAAGCUGCGUCCGCCCCCGGUUGUCCAACGCCCUCCUCGGCGCCGUCCGCCGCUGGCGCAUCACGCGACGCCCUCGUCGGCGCCGCCUGUCCCCGUGCGCCGCCGCCCACGCCCAUCCCCACGCGCCGCCGUCUUCCGCGUGUACCCGCAUGCCGCCGCCCAUCGCCCACGCGCCGCCGCCCACGCCCGUCCCCACCCGUCGCUGCACCGCCGCGCCCAUCGCCCACGCGCCGCCGCCCAUGCCCGUCCCCACGCGCCGUUGCAACGCCUCAGUAGCGGCCUCGCUAUUAAAGGAGGAAGAGAGAGGAAGAGAAAGAGAGAGGAGGGCAAUUUGGUCAUGCCAUGUAAAAAAGUAGGCCCCUUGUCGCUUAGUCAGCACAAAAAUAUUAAUUUAAUGAAUGGAGUGUCCCCUGGCAAAUAACCAUAUUUUGAGAGUGUCUUUCCCCAAAAGUGACUUUGUGCGGUGUCCUACAGCUAAAACCACAAAGUCGCGAUGUCCUGUAGCAAAAUUUGCCUUUAUAGUAAUGCGAUUGCAACACUUGAUUGACUCUUAAAAAAGAGAGAAAUGGAAACUCUUUUUCCGUGGAGUACUUCACCCGAUCCUUUUUUAGGACACUAAUGCCUCACUAACAUGUGGACCUAGCGAUGCAAGCAGGGCUAGCAAGUGGGCUUUUUUAGCCCCCUUAUUUCACUUCUAGUUCAUUUUUUCUUCUAAAUUUUGUACUACCAUAUGAGAAAUUAACUAGCAAGUGGGUUUUUAUGCAGGUACGUAGCGGUACUACCUACUUGCAUCCCUAUGUGGGCCCCAUAUGUGCGUUAUGCACUUGCUUGAGCAUAUAAAUUUCUGAAACAGAAUUUUCAUAUGGCUUUGACUACUUUCAGUUAGUGUGUGUUGGUAAUAUCUCAUAACGAUAGUAGUCCAUGUCAGCUCCCUGGACAAUUGUUGUCUUAGACUCUUACCAUCAAAAACUGAAGUUGAUUACUGUUUUGGCGUACAUUGAAUUUACAAGUUAGGGGUCGCCACCAAACCGUCAUCACAUCUUAUGAUAUACUCCCAACGGAGCAACUAAAGUCUUACAUAGUGAAGCUCACAUUAAAGACAUACAAGGAACUUAAAGGUGUCCAUGUCCAUAUAUAUGGACAUCACAGUGUAAACAUGUAGCCAUCCUAUGUUCAGAACACAUUCAGUUGUCUCACAUACAACAACUAGAACCAACUGGAGAGCAAGUUGUUUUUGUGAGCUCAUAGGCUUAGGAGACACCGGGAACCGAGCUUACGCAUAUCUUAGGCCUCUCACAGUGCUCCUAGCUGGAGCGUUCCUUAGUAGUGCCACGGAGGAAAAGUGUCGACGUGGAGUGGACGACCGCGUCCUAGCUAGGUUUCUCGCCUCCUAGUUGAGCGACGCGAAACUUCGUUCUGGCGAGGGCUCGAGCGGACGGGGAAAAGCGAGGCACGCGCGCUGUGGGCAACGUUUCUUCGCUGCCCUGUGCCCUCGCGCGCCUGUGGAGGGGUAAAUCCCCAAAUCACCCUCCAAAAUCCCCACGACAUCAGACAUAUCAGACAUGCUAGCAAUUUUAGAUCAAAAAAACAUCCAUCUCCGAAAGAACAAUCAAGAACAGAAACAGAUUGAAUCACAAUUAUUCUUCAUUAAAAUCUGAGAAAGAGAACACAAAAUCCUUUGGUAGAGGAAAGGAAGAAAACCACCACAGAUGUAGACCAAACAAACAAAAUUUCUCGAGUAAUUUGGUAGAGAAAAGAAAGGGGAAAUCGGCGAGGAGGAGAAGCCGUCCGCUCCCGCCGCCGGCCGCCGUCGGCUUCGAGCCAUUCACUCCCGCCGACCCCGGCCAGAUCCAACGUGAAGCCGCGGAAGCCGCCGACGACGACAAGAAGAAGCAGGCGCAGGUCAAGCCCCCGCCGCACCUGCACCCGCACCUCCUCCGUGCCGCCGCCGGCGGCCCGGCCCACCCGCUCCUCCUCCUCGCGGCGGCGGCGGCUGCUCGAGGUGGAGGCGUCCCUCGGUGAGGUCGCCGCGGUGGAGCCGCCUGAGCAGCAGCAGCCGGAGAAGGAGGCGCGGCGAGGGAGGCGACGAGGACGACGGGAGGCGAGGAGGACGCCAGAGCUGCAGCCUUUCCCCUCCUCCUCCGCCGCCCCCGCCUCUCCCACCGUCGGGAAAGGCGUGGCGGUGGACCGGGAGGAGGCGCAGCGGCGGACCGGCGCGGUGGCGGACCGGCGCGGCGGCGGACCGGGAGGGGAGCGGCGUGGGAGGCGAGGAGGCGAGGAGCGGUGUGGGAGGCGAGGAGACGCCGGGAGGGGAGCGGCGUGAGAGGCGAGGAGACGGGAGCAGGGGUUUUCCUUCACUCACCCGUGUCUUUAAAACUGGGUCACGAGCGUUGUGGGGUUUGUUCCCUUACAGUACCUCCAUCCAAUUAGGUCACGUAAAAUAGGAUACUUGCACUGUAGGAAUGAGUGUCUUUAGAGCCUUUUUUCGAACUAAGCUACGGGGACCGGUGCUUGCACUGUGAAUGGCCUUAAGUGGGUGCCAGGUGCUAUUGCUUCUUUCUCUACCGAUGAGUGCUGAUCCACGACGGUUGUGUGUCACACCUUUUCUUUUUUUUUUUUUUGAACUAGGGCUUGAAAGCCCCCAUUUCUAUUAUCAGAAAUGCAACAGUAGAAGUCUGCUAACUGCUAAGACAAAAGAGGAAGAAAAAAAGAAAUUACAGCACGCAGGCUGUGAAGUUUUUUACAGACCAUAGCACUGUGAUUCAUAAACAAAAUGAGAGGAGCUCCCACACCCUCAACCCAGAUCUGGUGAUACCUUCCUAAGAGACUGCUAACUAUAUAUGAGAGCUUAUACUAUACCAAGCAGGAAACAAAAGAUCACAGGGAUGAUUCUCCAGCAGCAUCACGCAUCAGUUGGUUGUGUGUCACACUGGCAUUGCCAUCGGAUAUACUCCCUCCAUCCCUAAAUGUUUGACGCCGUUGACUUUUUUAAACAUGUUUGACUGUUCGUCUUAUUCAAUAAACUUAAGUAAUUAUCAAUUAUUUUCUUAUCAUUUGAUUUAUUGUUAAAUAUACUUUUGUGUAUACAUAUAGUUUUACAUAUUUCACAAAAGUUUUUGAAUAAGACGAACGGUCAAACAUGUUUAAAAAAGUCAACGGCGUCAAACAUUUAGGGAAGGAGGGACACCUUGUCAACAAGAUAUACAGGCACAACGGCCUUAGCCGCACAUGGAAACUCCUCCUUAUCAUUUUGGCAUUAGGCCAUUCUUGGCUGAGUUCGUUUGGAGGAGAUGGUAACCAAUCUCCUACGCACGGAAAACAGAGCAAUCCAUUAGCAUGUAAUUAAUUAAUUAUUAGCUAAUUUCUUUUUCAAAAAUGGAUCAAUAUGGUUCUUUUAACAAACUUUCUUAUAGAAACAUUUUAUAAAGCGUGCGCAUGAAAGACGAGCGAGAGGAGUUGGGAACAUGUGGUGCUGAACACAGCCUUAGGCUAUCCAAUUAAAGGUUUUAGGCUAUCCAAUUAAAGGUUUGUAGAAAAAGGGUUAGUAGUUGGUAAUAUAAAAAUAACCUUGCUAGUAUAGGGUAGCAAGAAACCCACCUUUGGUCGCAUAUACAAUUAAAUGUCACUCUUAUGUUGCUCGGAGUUUAUUUAAGAUUUCAUUUUCUUUUAGCUUGUUUGGAAUGCAUGGAGCGUGCAAUGAAAACCAAUAUAUGUAUGGAUCGAACAAGUACUAACCUGAUCAAGUUUGGAUUUGGUCGCCGGCAUGGGCUUCCUCAGCUUCCUCCGGCACAGUGACGGCCUGCGCCAGCAGCGAGCAACGGCGAUGUCCGGGGUGGGGGUAGGUUGUGAGGGGGAGCAUUUUAGUUAUUACGGACCUCGGGUGCAGUUAUUAGGAGACUUAAACAGACUGUACCUGUUUCAACAACCAUUAUUGUACAUGAACCCUAAUCAACUAGUUGAAAUUCAAUGCAGCAUACUUGUACAUCGCGAGUAACUAGCAUCAUGGAGCAGUUAAUUAGUUACACUGGAAAUUAAUUAGAAUCAGCUAAUUAAACUUCUUAAAACUAUAUAUAGGACUAAAGAGCAUGAAAUUAAAGUAGUGGUAUAGGUACAAGAACACGUUCAUGAUCCUCCCGAAAUCUUUUUGUAGACCGACGUCCUGUCUACAGUACGUAGGAUUAGGAUGCGUCGGGAAUGAACCUCCCACCUUCUGCAUUUUCCAUUCAGACUCACUACUUUGCUUCGAAACUGUCUGUAUCUGUUUCAAUUUAUCACAGUGAGUGGACUGAACGAUCAGGCUGAGUACGACGACCAUGCAGUGUGCAAAGCAAGUCUAGUGAACUUGUAUUUUGAUUUGUUUGAUUGCUGGAGCUAUGUAAAUGAAACUAUACCAGAUACACGUACAUCAACAUGAUGGAGCCAGGGAUGUAGUUAUGGGCAAACCGGCCAAUUAAUUAUAGUUUGGGUUCUGAAGGUUUUGAUUAUGACUCAAUGUUGAGAAUCAGUAUAAUUUGAGUUACCAUUUUAAUCUGGUGGUCUAUUAUUAUUUGUAGUUUUAGGAUCAAAACAAAACAAUCAAGCCUACCGGAGGGGUAAGGGUAGGAAUACCAAAAACCAAAACUUUUAGGGGAAUUAAAAGUUACUCUGAAAUUCGAUGAAGUAUGUGACGAAGUCCGAUGUGAUCGCCAGAUGUACACUUGUUAGACUGCUGGUCUGACCGGGGCGAUAUCGUUGGUCCAACUGUCCUCUGAGCAACUAUUGUCUGAAGCCACCGCCAGUCUGACCGUCGCUACCUCGCCAAUCUGACCGCUGAGAUCAGGAGAAACAUCGAUUGAAGAACUCAUAAAAAUAAAUCAUCUUUAUUACUUCUAAUUAUGUUUACAAAACACAACAAUUACACUUGUCUCUCAACUUUUGACGAAACUCGAAAUCUAGGCUAAACCUAAACUUUUCUCUCAACUAAUAAUCUCACAAAAUCUAUACCUAGAGGCAUCAACCACUCUUUUAUUUAUACCCUGAUGUGGUUGUACAAAAACCACAAAUCCACUUUGUAGAAAAAGUCAUAAUUUAGUAGGAAACCUACCCAUACAAGUAAUCCACCUGAUCAAACUCCAAUCGUCCUAAAUUUAUACUACUUCUAAAUUCGACUUCGCAUCCCAAACACACAAAACUCAUUUUUUAUAUUGCAUGAAAUCUUCGCUACUAUGUGCACUAUCAUUUAUCCUAAGCGUCCCGCGUGAUCUAGUGAUCAUCUGGACAUCAACUUCUUCCAAGUUGACUCCUGACCCGUCACUGGCAAUACUCUCUUGACACAUCAAGGCACACUAACACAUAAAUAAAUAAGAAACCAAAUCCGAGCACAAAUUAUUCCACAACUUGACUCAACAUUAGUAUACAACAAUAUUAAAUAUAUAGUAAUAGUCUAGAGUCAUAAACAUAAAGUAAUCACGAGUAUACAAACAAACCAAUCCGAAACUAACUCCAAUAAAGUGCUAGGCAGUUAGACCGUCGGGCCGGUCGGCCUAAUUGCCUCAACACCACUGGUUUGACAAGCCCACCUUGCGCGGUCUGACCGGCUCCACACAAUGGAAAACAUGUUCAUCGUACUACCACUAUUCAACGUUGUUCCCACACUACUACAGAAACGAUUUUCCUAUGCGAGCCCCUCGUUAGAUUCCAGACAUUCGAUAACUGACCGCGUCUGAAAAAAUCAUCCUACCAUUUUUGCGUGCGGACCCUUAAGAGAACCACACGCACAAAUCAAUUUUUGCGCAUGGGCCUCUUAAGGGUCCGCACGCAAAAACAAGUGUAUUUUCACGUACGGGCAUCUUAAGAGCAUAGCACGCGAAAAUACCCUCCCUCCUCAGGCAAUUUUUCUCUCUCAACCACUUCAAAAAUUUAUAUCUUAUCCUCUCCACCUACCGAUCCUUAUCCUCAUUAUUCCCUUUCUUCUCUCUCUCGUCUAUCGUCUCUCACGGGCAGCGUGUGGGCUUGGUGGCUGACAGGUGGCAGCCAGGAGCGGCGGCGACCCUCGCCCGCCCGGAUCUGGAGGACGCGCCCCUCUCCCGCCGGCUGGAUCCAGCGGUUGGCGGUGGCGACGUGGCCGGGAGCGGCGGUGAGCUUGGGAGAGGUGACGGGCUUGUGAGCCAGCUGCGGCGGCCGGUCGCGGCAGAAGGCGGCGACGCCGCCACCGACGACGACGAUGGUGGCGCACGUCGACAACGACGGCGACGGCGAGGAGGGUGGCGGUGGGCGGUAGCUAGGGUUAGGGUUUGGAUUUUUUUUUUGGGUUUUUUUUCCAUGUGGGCGACAUAACCCAACCGCACGCGAAAAUCAUUUUCGCGUGGCACAAAAAAAUUGGAUUUUUGCAGACACUUAGGUGCAGACAGGGGUGAGAUCCGCACGCAACAACCCUUUUCGACCGCACGAAAAAAAUCGUUUUCUUAGUAGUACCAGUCUAACCUUUACGCAAAACCCUGCCCAAUAUAGAGGCAACCACUUAGCCAAUAAAUUACCAAAUAGACAAACCAUUACAAAAUAAUAAUAAUAAUAAUAAUAUUAUUAUUAUUAUUAUUAUUAUUAUUAUUAUUAUUAUUUUUAUUAUUUUUAUUUUAUAGUAGUUUAUUAGGAAAGGAGACUAGUAAAAGGCCAUAUUAUCUUAUUAUUGCUUGUUUCCUUGUAGGGUGUAUUUGUAAUUUUGUUUGUUUCCAGGAAUAGGCCGUAAAAUGAUUCAUGCUAACUUCAAAACAAAAGGAAACACUCUGAUUAUUCAGCCACACCACACAACGCUACCUACCUAGCUAGAUUGGUAGCUUAUACUAUAGUACCCAAUACUUGGAAGCUUGGAGUGGUGAAUUUGACAAAUUGACCCUUUUACGGCUGCCGUCCAGGAUGAACUCGUUGCAGACUUUCAGUAGUACUACUCUUGCAUCAGUACUAAUCAGGGGCCCUCCAAUCUAUCAUCAAUACUAAUUAUCCAUGCUUAACUAGCAUCAGAUUAUAGGACAAAAUAAAACAGAAAAAAAAAGAUUACAGGGCACAACCUUAUCCCCUGAUGAUUAACUUCAGUUCAGUUUGAUGCUUUGUUUCUUUCAUCAUCAUGAGUCACCCCGCCGCCAGCUUGUCGGCUUCAGCUUGCCUCCUGUUCCUAAUACUUAUUCCUGAAGUUGUUCACAACAUGAAACAUGUAACAAAUAGUAGUAGAUCGAAUCAAUCAACAGUCUAAGAUCACAUCAAUUUCAUGGUGCGUUCUAUGACAUUUCGUGGUGUUCUAACACAUAUCUUGUGCUGUACUAUUGUGUUCACGUGCAUGUGCCAGUUGGAUAAACCAGUUAGUAGGACACAGCUCCUCUGACGUAAAGACAGAGAGACGUGGGUCGCAGACAGGUGGGGCCCACCUUUAUGGGCCUACACGUCAGUGACCACGUCCAUCUAACUUUCACUGGUGGAGAAUCCGGGACUAAAGAUCGCUAUCUUUAGUCCUGGGUGAAAAAACCGGGAGUAAAAAUCCAUUUUUAGUCCUGGUUGGUGUUACCAACCGGGACUAAAGAUACUCUAUCUUUAGUCCCGGUUGGUAACACUAACCGGGACUAAAGAGGCUAGCUAGGCUGCUACUUUAUUCUAUUCUUUUCUUCAUUGUUUUUAAUAUUUUGAUUCACUCUAUCCCGUCCCAAAAUCCCAAAUCAAUCGUCAUCCCCGAAUAGUCUCCAAAUUCUCAAAUCAAUCUCAAAAUACAUAACAAAAUCUUAAAAAAAUUACAUCACAGCUUCUACAAAAUUCAUCACAAAUACAUCACAUAUUCACAUCACACACAAAUCAAAUACAUCACAUAUUCACAUCACACACAAAUCGUCUUAGAUCCAAAUCACAGAUUUAAAAAAAAAAGAAAGAAAAAAGGAAGAAGAUGAACGGCCCGCUGCUGCCGCCUCGCCGCCCGCCGCCAGCGUGCCGUCGCGCCCGGCCCUCCGAGCGCCGCGCCGCCUCACCGGCCGGCAGCCGCCGCGCGCCGCGCGCCGCCCGCCUCGUCCCUGGCCGCCGCCGCGAGGCCACCAGCCGCCAGCUCGCCGCCUCGCCCGGCCUCCGCGCGCCCCGCCGCCGCGCAGGCCGGCCGGUGUCACGCCCCGAACUAGUCCCGACCGGAACUAGCCCGUGACGCUCCAAUUUAACCUGUUAAUCGAUACCAGUCCCAGGAAGCAGUGCUGGUAUCACAGGGAGACAGAAUAUCACAGCAACAGAGGUCUCUUUAUUAUAGAGUAGAAGUACAGUCAUGUUGGGCUGCGGACAGAUCCCGAGCUUACAACUGCAUGACAAAAGGAAAGCGGAAGCCAGGACUUGGACCAAACAAUCACAGGCGCGACUUGGGAACUAGGCCGAAACCCUAAAACUCAUCGUAGCCGGCUUGCUCCUGGAAGAACUCCUCAUCAGCAGGAUCCGCUUCAUCUUCUUCAGCAACUGGGGGGGUUAUUUAUAUAGAGCAAGGGUGAGUACGGGAGUACUCAGCAAGCCAGGGGAAAUAAGUGUUUAAUGCAGGCUUCAAGGAAAGGCUGUUGUUUUUGCAAUUGAUUUUAUUUGAACUCUUUUUCUAAAAUAACUAGGUGAGUGCUUCUCAAACGACACGAAUGAGACAGUGCGUCUCGUCCGGUCGGAGUAUGUGCAAUGUAUCAGUCUUCAGAUCUUGAAACAAGGUUGGCACCCGGCCAACAGCUUUUCAAACGGCCACCCGGGCCAACAACUUUUCAAACGGCCACCCGGGCCUAGCUGAUCCCGUCAGCUGCUGAUUUUCCAAACAUCGAACCCAUUUUCACAACAGCAAUUUCACAAGCAGUAGUCAAACAAAACUACGCUAGGAAUCACCUCACAUCCGCCCAUGACCGUGGGCACGGCUGUUCGAACAGUUUGUUAACCUCUGCAGAGGGGGUACACUUUACCCACACGACAUUACUAACCCGGAUCACCCAGCCGUGGGGAUCAGCCACGUCGGGAGACCUCCAAGCUUUCAUGACAAGGCAUUUCGAAAGCCGAUACAGGUUUACCAUAUGCCGACGAGAGGGGUCCCAGACCAACAACAGGUUAGGUCCCAGACCAUACUGUGCCAGAAAGCCCAGGGGUCCUCCCCGACACCACCCCGGCGAAUCCACAUGUCUCUCAGCAUCAAGGCUCCCCUGAUAAGCUAGUUACUCAGCCAGGGGUGUCCCAUUCCACCCAUGUGGUCGUACUUGUCUUAUGUUUGGAUGAAAUUCCAAGGAAUCGGUCCUUAAGUGCGAGAGCGGGAAACCGUACACCCGGUACGUUCCCCGGUCCGCGGUUUUGGAAAUUCAUUUAGUUCGCAAGCACCGACCCAGGUGUCGGGUUUUCCAAGUCUUUUGUAAAACUCCAGUUUUACCCAAGUUGUUACUCAGAUUUUAAGUUUGAAGGCGACCGUCGAUACUUGCACAGAGUGCACGAAUAUCGAGGUGCAACUGGGUGGUUACAAGGGGACAUAGUAUGGCAAUUAACAAUGGAAGGAUCAAAUGCAACAAGUUAGGUAAGUCCGCCAAUCUGUCUUGCAGAUGGGACAAAAGAUUUAGUGCGAUCCUAUCAAUGCAUAAUAUUUUGCAAGCAAUAUAAUUAAAUUUCAAAUAUAGGCUCAAGAUGUUCAAAGGUGGCUUGCCUUGCUCGAGAUCUGGAGCUUGAUCCUCGAAAUCCUCGCACUGCGGGUCUUCUGGCUCCGAAACUACACGCGAAACGGGACAACUCAACAAACGGCAAAAAAAUAAAGCCCUAUUAAUGACCUCUAAGCGUGCCAUUAGAUAGAUCUCGAGAUUUGGGGAAAUUUGGAAGUUGAAUGGAGUCAAACGGAUUUACGGUUGGGAAGAUAUUGAAUUUCUAAGAUUAUUGAAUUUUUUAUCUAAAGGAAAAGGAUUUAAUUAAAUCCUUUUUGGAAAAGAAAAGGAAGAGGGAGGAGAAGUAGACUUCUCUCGGGCGGCUAGGGCGCGGCCCAAGGGAAAUGGAGUGGACCGGCCGAUCUUAACGGGCCGGCCGGCCCAAGACGGCCCAAGCGCGCGCGCGCGUGGGAGGGAGGAGAGAGAGUCCGGUGGACUGGGCUCACCACGCGCGGUCCCGGGUGGGACCCGCUUGUCAGCGGCUCGGCUCACCGUGCGGAGGGAGUUUGCGGCGUACGCGCGCGGGCGGGGCUGGGACGCGGUGCACGCGCGCGGUUCGCGGAGGAACGGAUGCGGCGGGCCCACGCGCAGCCUCACGGCUCACCGCGGACCAUGCGCACGGGGGAAAAACGGAGGGAGCGGCUGGCCGGGUCGGCUUAUCCGGUCGCGGCCGAGGUGGCGCCGACGUGGCGCCUACGUGGCAGCCACGCGGGCCGGCGGGAGGUAGACGACGACCCGGCCGCGAAUGGACGGCGGGCGACAGCGGCGAGCGGCGGAGCGAGCCACGGCGAUACCGGCGAAAGCGAGCACACCGGGUGGCAGCACAGGACGAGGGGAGACGAGCCAACGGCUCGGAUUCGCCGGAGGGAGUCCGUCGGCGGCGGAUUGCGGCGGCGGCAACCGGCGGAGAGGAAAGGGGGAAACGGCGAUGAGGUCCCGAGGGGCUAAUUCCCGGCGGCGAGAGCAUCUACGCGGCUUCGGGAACUCGACGCUUGCGUCGGAUUGGACGGAACUACGCCGAGCGAGGCCGGCGACGAGCGGGUGCUACGGAGCUCGGGCGGCGACGGCGGCGAGCAUACAGCGAGCGAUGGCAACGGUCGGGGCGGCGCCGGCUAACUACGGGGAGUCUACUCAAGCUACUACCGAAAGCUAGGGGGAGGAGAUGGAGCGAGGAGGGAGAACGGAGGGAGGCACUACCGUGCGGGACGGGCGCAGUGACGAGAGGCCGACGGCGCGGGAGUGAUCUCUCCGGCCUCGGGCCGAGGAAGAGUGUCGCGACCGGGAAAAUUGCCUUUUCCCGAACGCUAGUGUAUUAAUCCCCGUCCCAGGAAAAGCCGGGGUACACCACACAAACAUGAUAUAAAAGACACAUCUUUAUUAUAUCGAUAAUAUUUACAUUAUUACAAAGGCGCUUCAGGCCUGGCAAUCAAAAAUAAACAGCAGCGGACUAGCAGGCCUACGGCUCCAUCUUCACAGGCGCUCAACUGGGGUAUAAGCCAGGACUCCACCUAAGACAUCUUCUCCAAAGCUUCUCUUACUGAAGGGGGGGGGGAGAAAGAUAGAGCAAGAAUGAGUACAACCACAGUACUCAGCAAGCCACACCGGAGAUGCACAAUUAAUGCAAAGGAGUACAAGGGGAUAAUAAUAUAGGGGUUAAGUUUUGCAGUAAACAGCAUUUAACAGUCACUUAGUUGCCCAAAGCUAUUUUGUAAACACGAUCCUAGAGCUAUACAAUAUUAUUAAUCAAGGUCGUGAACCCACACGAACCUGCCUUAACCCAAGGCCUACGAUGAUUCAGACCGAACUGGCAACCCGACCCUGGGCCCCAGCUCGUCCCAAGCCAACCCAGGCCAACCAUUCCACAUUUUAGUUGUUGAGCAAAUUUUAAGAAUUAUAACACUGACUUGGGUACAUUGCUCGGCUUGCCCAUAACCGAGGGCGCGGCUAUUCGAAUAGAUUAUACUCUGAUCAGAGGUGUACAUCUUUACCCACAAGACACAUCUUCCUCACGUGCAACCACGUGCCACAUACCACCACGGUAUACAGACGGAAGACGUGACAUAGUUCCCAACCCAUCCUAGCCAUAAACAAGAGUACCGACCCAAUCCCACCUACGGCCGGAACCCCCGGGACAGGCAGGCAGGACUGAGCCCCAAGCAGCAGGGCACCAACCCUCUGCCACGACAUCUCGACUACCGGGCCGCAGCUCGUGUAGCCUUCAUUUGUCCUGGAGAAUGUCCAUCGACCCCCGACUUCAUCCAUCUCCAAUCCGUGUACUUUUGUUUAUGACUAGACUGAGCCACAAACUAAGCCUUACCCACUAGACAUGUGGAAGUACGGUAGUGCUUUGCAACAGAGGCCCGAGCUUAAUCCUUAUAGUGGCCGGGGUGCUACUUCCCACAACUGGCAUGCACCCAAACCCCACCGAAAACAGGUUUUAGGGGUUUUGAAAGAGGAAGAGAGGUGUAUGUCCAAUUCCACCAUAACCCAACAAUUCCAUAGUGUCCAAAUGAUAUGAGAAUUCCCAAAGUCUAAAGUUAUAAAACCACCUAAUGUUGCCUAAUUAAUCAGCGAAUCAUCUACCUAAAUUUAAACUAGGGAUACCACGAGUAGAGUGUCCACUAGUUGAGGUUUUGUUUAAUCUAGGGUGAACAAGGUAGUAAUAAUAACAAUAACAAUAAUAAUAUGGUCAUAACAAAGGUAAAUAGGCAUGGCUAAAUAAAACAGUGAUAACGCGGGAAUUUAAAUAAAGCGAUAAUGCAAUAAUUUAAAUCAACAUAAUUUUACAAACUGGGAUUCAAUAUGUUCAAAGAUGAUGUGACUUGCCUUGCUCAGAGAGAACGGCCUUCCGAACCUUCGGCGACGACCGCGAACCACGCUUCGGGAACCUCCGGAACGACGAAAGCUACGCGAAGCACACAAGCAAAGCUACAAGCCUAUAAAGAAGCAAUAACAAUACAUAAAAAGAAAGCACAGGGUUCUUUAGGUUAUAACCAACAUUAGGAGACUUGAACGGGUCGAUUCAGGGUUCGUAUGACCAAGAUAUGAUCAUCCGAGGUUUAAUGCUGUUAUAUGGAGAUUUGCGGAUUAUUAUAAUUAAGCUUUGCAACUAUAAAACGUGUGUAAGCGCUAGCCUGGAAAAGACAGGAAGGCUGCGCCGUUGACAUGCGGACCCCACAUGUCAACCUAAAGGACCGCGGUAGACCAGGUACACAGAGACGGUCCACGGGUCGACGGAAGCGGACCCCGUGUGUCAACCGAGGCGAGUGGCCGACAAACGGACUCCACUAGACACCACACGGCCUGCACACGUGGAAACCACGCGGCUACCGAGCGGGCACGCUAACACGGUCACCACACGCACAAGCGAACGACUACCAACACCGGUACACGGGUACCGGGGCCGACAACCGCACAACGAGCACGGGCGACACCGAAAGGACGAGGACGGGGCAGCGGGAGAGGGAUCCUUACCACCACGCGACGAGGCGUGGGAACGACAACGACGAACGGGCGCGGCGGAGGCGGCCGGGAACCACGGAGACGAACGGCGAGGGGACGACUUCGGCGGCGAUCCUAGGACGAAGGCGAGACGCGGCCGGCACGAGGCUUGACGACGCGGAGGCGAGGACGAAGACGAUGAUGGGGCUGCUGCACUUGACGAAGCGAGGACGACGAACGAGAACGGCUUGACGGAGGGACGAACGCCACGACGAUCGGAACCGGGAACGACGAGAGGACGACGACGACGACGACCGGAGCCGGCGAGGAGGCGACGAGGGCAGCCGGCGGUGGCUGCACGGAGACGAGGACGACGUGGAACACGCCGCUGCGAUGCCGACGACGGAGGCGGCGCCGCGAGACGACGAGCCGGGCAACCGACGGGACGUCGACGACGAGAACGAUCGGAGACGACGAUGAUGGACCGCGGAGGGGUUUGGAUGGAGGGGAAACGAUGCCGAGGACGACCUUGCCGCUGCGAUGCCGGAGGUGGUAGUGGUGCAGCAAGCCGACGAGCCGGGGAGGAGGAAGGGGCGGCCGAAAGGACGCCGGCGACGAAGAGGAUGGAGAGGCCGGCGCGGCGACGGCGUUCCGGCGAAACCGAGGAGCAGCCGGAGGGGAGGACGACGCUGCGAUGUCAACGGAGGAGACGGCGACGUCGGUCGGCGUACCGGCGACGAACAGCAGCCGGCCGGAGACGGAGAAGUGGUGGCGACGCCACUGGACGCCGGCGAGGAGGCCACUCCAGCGAGCUUCGGGCGAGGAGGAGGUGAUGCCGGGGAUGAGGGCGGCGUCGCGGAGCCGAGGGAGGUGGUGGCGACGUCGUCCGGCGCUCAGGCAGGGAGACAGAGGCGGCUGGAGGCGGCCGGCGCGGAGGAAAGGGAUGGGCGACGACGGGAACGCAGCUCCGGGGGUCUCCGCGCGAAACGGAGGGCAGGCCGGCGAAGAGGAGGUGGCGGCGACGCUGGAGGAGGCGACGGCACGGCCGGACGACGCUCCGGCGAGGCGGGAGAGGCGGCUGGAGGCCGGCCGGCACCGGAGAGAGAGAGGGAGAAGGUGGGGAGAGGCGGUGCGGCCACGGGGGAGCUCGGGAAGAGGCUAAAACGGUAGAACGCAUAGAGGGGGUUCCAUUUUAUAGGAGAGGAGAGGGAGCCGGCCACGGGGGAGGUCGGAACGGCGACGGGAAUGGCGGCCGGCGGCAAAGGUAGGCGGCCGGACUUGGCGCGUCCGUUCCCGGCGAUUGGGGGCGCCAUUCAAGGGGGAAUUAAGGGGGAAAGAGAGAGGAGGGAAAGGGGAUUAAUUCCCCCUAAUCAAUUUGGGAAUCCCAUGCUUGAAUCGCGCGGAUUUGAGGGAGGAAUGGCGCUAGGGUUCACGGGAGAGGGAGAGAGGACGGCCGGGCGGGAGGACGACGAUGACUCGCCUGACGCGCGGGCCCCACGCGGUCAGGCGGCGGCGUCAGCGCGCGCACGCGCGCGGCACGGGCGGGAGGGCGCCGCUUGGGCAGGGGCGCGGCUAGGGUUGGGCCGAGCGGCCGGCCCAGGAGGAGAGGAGGGGGAGGCGGCCUGGGCCGGGCAGGCCGGGAGGGGAGGGGGGGGGGAAAGAGGCAGCCCGGGAGAGAGGGAGGAGGGAGCUGGGCCGAGGGGAAGGGGAGCCCAAGAGAAGGAGGGAGAGAAGGAGAGGGAGAGAAGGAGAGGGAGAGAAAGAGAGGGAGGAAAGGGAGACUUCGGCCGCGGGCCGAGGGGAGAGAGGGAGGACUUUGGGCCAAAAUUGGCCCAAAAGAAAAGGAGGAUUAUUUUUAGAUUUUCUUUUUAAUAAACUUUGUUAAUUGUUUUUGUUGCUUAAUAAUUAUUUCCGGUGCUCUGAAAAUUCAAGUAAAAUUUGAGAGCUCCAUUUAGACCAAGGAGAAUUUAACAAAAAUUCUCCGGGCCACAUUUGAAUUUUUCUUGCACGUAUUUUAGUGUUUGCCAAUUUCUUUUCGUAUUUUAAUUAAUUCUAUUAUUCCUUUUAGAAAAUGAUUUUUAUUUUGGGAUGAAUUUAUCAGGACGUGACAAAGAGGGUGAAGAGGGCGCGCCCGGAGUCCCCUUCCGCGUCCACGAACGCACCGGCUCUCCCGGCGCUUGGCGAUGGACGGCGGAGGCGAGGCAGAGCACGGGAGCGGCGGCAAUGGCGCGGAGGCGAAUGGGAGAGGAGGGGAAAGGGGAGGCUGGGGUUUAUAGGGGGCGGCAAUGUCAGUUUGGGAACCGACUUGCGCGGUCAAGGGCGCGAGCUGGCGCUCCGGCUAGCGGCCAAAACGGCGACAGGAGGAUGACGCCGGCGAGAAGGGAAAAAGGGGAGAAAAAGAAGAAAAGGAGGGAGAGAAAGGGGGCUCGCCCCUUUGCCGAUUCGGGAAAAGGAGGAGGGGGCGGGGCGACGCGGCAGAGGGAAGGGAGAGCUCGGCCUCCGCCUCUUGGCGGCUUGCGCGCGGAGUGGCGGGGCCGGGGGAUGACGACGGCGAUGACGGUGAGAUGGUUUGGAGCGGCGCGACGACACGGGCGACAGGCGCGGCAGGCGCUGACGACGGCGGCGACUGGGCGGUCGGCCACUCAGCGCGCGCGCGCGGGAAACAACGGGCGGCGUCCGCGCGGGCGCGCGCACGCGAACACGGCGCGCGGGAAGCGGCUUUGCGAGGGGAGGGGCGCUUAGCGCGGGCGACUCCCGCGCACGCGCGCGCGGCGCGCGGGCGGGACGGAGGGGAAGCGGGGAGAGAGGCGCUCGGGGCGGCUCUCGCACGCGCGAGCAGCGUGCGGGCGAGGCUGAGCGGGGGGGGGGGGAGGAGCGCGCCGGGGGGAGAGAGAGAGAGAGAGAGAGAGCGCCCGGGAGAGAGGGCCGGGGGAGAGAGAGAUGGGCCGAGCGAGAUUCGGCCCAUCGACCUCGGGGGAGGCAAAAUAGACUUUUGCGGAGGAAUUUGAUUGGAAGGAUUUGGAUUCGGAAUUGAACUCGACGAUAGAUCGGGGAUUGAGAUCUUGAGAUGGCACGGACACUAGACAACAAUCAAAGAAACAAAUUUCGCAAUUAGGGUUUUUCGGAGAUUAUUUUCCCGCUAGGCACCACGACGGAACGGGCGCUACAGACCAACCCCCCCUAACAAGAAUCUCGACCCCGAGAUUCAGCACCUAAGGGAGCAGCUCCGGAAACUCGGCGCGGAGAAGAUCUUCUCGUUCCCAUGUUGCCUCAUCUUCGGAAUGAUUGCUCCAUUGGACUUUGUAGAACUUGAUGGUCUUCCUUCGAGUCUGACGUUCUGCCUCUUCAAGAACCUUGAUCGGUCUUUCCUUGUAGGUCAGAUUCUUUUUCAGCUCGAUGUUACCCAAGGGGACUUGCUCUUCUGGAACUCGAAGACAUUUCUUUAGCUGGGAUACGUGGAACACGUUGUGCACAUCUGCGAGACCUUCAGGUAGCUCAAGCUGAUAAGCCACUUCGCCACGUCUGGCGGUUAUGAGGUAGGGGCCGAUGUAGCGGGGUGCUAACUUGCCGGACAUCCCAAACCUUCUCAUACCUCGGAGUGGUGAUACCCGCAGGUACACAUGAUCUCCCUUUUCGAACUCAAGGUCACGUCUCCGAUUGUCAGCGUAAUUCUUUUGGCGGUUCUGCGCUGUCUUCAGACGUUCUCGGAUCAGCUUAACUUGUUCUUCUGCUGACUUGAGUAUGUCAGGACCGAAUACCAGGGCUUCGCCCACCUCAUUCCAGCACAAGGGGGUGCGGCACUUUCUUCCGAACAUUGCCUCAUUCGGCGACAUCUGAAUGCUGGCCUGAUAACUGUUGUUGUAUGAGAACUCAGCAUACGGCAAACAACGAUCCCAAGUGCCUUCGAAAUCCAAGGCACACGCACGCAGCAUGUCUUCUAGGAUUUGGUUUACCCUUUCUGUCUGACCAUCGGUCUGUGGAUGGUAGGCCGUACUAAAAUUCAGAUCAGUUCCGAGGGCUUCAUGCAACUGCUUCCAGAACCUUGAGGUGAACUGAGUGCCUCGGUCUGACACAAUUUUCUUGGGACAGCCAAAUCUACAUACGAUAUGGGUCAUGUAGAGUUCUGCUAGUUUCUUUCCAUCAUAGGUGGUUUUUACUGGCACGAAAUGAGCUGAUUUCGUGAGUCGGUCCACGAUUACCCAAAUGGAGUCGUACCCGCUGGGGGUUCUUGGCAAACCGGUGAUGAAAUCCAUUCCGAUCUCUUCCCAUUUCCACUCGGGAAUCGGUAGGGGUUGCAGCAGACCAGCUGGCCUCUGAUGCUCUGCCUUGACUCUUUGGCAAAUGUCACACAAGGCUACGUAUUCUGCGACAUCUCGCUUUAUUCCAGCCCACCAGAAGUAUGCCUUGAUAUCUUGGUACAUCUUCGUACUUCCUGGAUGAAUGGAGUAAGCGGACUCAUGAGCUUCCUUUAGGAUGAGAUCUCUUAACUCCUUCUUGGCCGGUACACAGAUGCGUGGACCGCACCAAACUGUGCCUUGAUCGUCUAUGGAGAAAUUGGUGUCUUUCUUCUCCUGUAUUCUUUUUAUUAACUCUUUUAUCCCUUCGUCGUCUUUCUGUGCCUCCCGGAUUUGCGAUUCUAGGGUAGGCUGUACUGUCAAGCUGGCAGGGACUCCUGACUGUACCACGGUCAGCCUUAACUUCUCCAAUUCUCUGCACAGGUGAUCUUGGUCAGGCCGUAUUUGAGCUACAUUGCAAUAGGCCUUGCGACUUAGUGCAUCAGCGACCACGUUGGCUUUACCAGGAUGAUAGUGGAUUCCAAGAUCGUAAUCCUUGAUUAGUUCCAACCAUCUUCUCUGUCUCAUAUUUAACUCGGUCUGAGUGAAGAUAUACUUAAGACUUUUGUGAUCGGUGUAUACUUCACAUCUGUUCCCGAUUAAAUAGUGCCUCCAGAUCUUAAGAGCAUGAACCACGGCUGCCAACUCGAGAUCAUGGGUGGGAUAAUUGACUUCAUGAGGCUUGAGCUGCCUGGAUGCAUAGGCCACAACCUUUCGUUCUUGCAUUAGGACACAUCCUAAGCCUUGUCUUGAUGCGUCACAGAAGAUCUCGAAAUCUUUUCGGAUAUCUGGCAAGGUGAGAACUGGGGCAGUGGUCAACUUUUUCUUCAUUUCUUGAAAGCUGUCUUCACAGGCUGUAGACCAUUGAAAUUUCUUUUCCUUCUUUAACAGUUCGGUCAUAGGUCUGGCUAGCUUAGAGAAUCCUUCAAUGAAUCUUCGAUAAUAUCCAGCUAAGCCAAGGAAGCUGCGAAUCUCUGACACAUUCUUGGGCGGGUUCCAAGCAAGUACAGCUUCAACCUUGCUGGGAUCUACUUCGACACCGUUGGAGGAGAUCACGUGUCCAAGAAAUGCUACUCGGUCUAACCAGAAUUCGCAUUUCGUGAAUUUAGCGAAUAGUUGAUGAUCUCUGAGCUUUUCCAUUAUCAGCCUCAGGUGUUCAGCAUGUUCUUCCUCAUUUUUGGAGUAUAUCAGGAUGUCAUCGAUGAAUACCACGACAAACUGGUCCAGGUAUUCCAUAAAGAUUUUGUUCAUUAAGUUCAUGAAGAAUGCUGGAGCAUUGGUGAGUCCGAAGGACAUUACUGUGAACUCAUAUAGACCAUAACGCGUUGAGAAAGCGGUCUUUGGGAUAUCUUCAGACCUGAUUUUCAAUUGGUGGUAACCUGACCUCAAGUCAAUCUUUGAGAAAACUCUUGCUCCUUUAAGUUGAUCGAAUAAAUCGUCAAUCCGUGGCAACGGGUACUUGUUCUUUAUAGUUACUUCAUUCAGGGCUCUAUAGUUGAUUACCAUUCUCUCAGAGCCAUCCUUUUUCUUAACCAGAAGCACUGGGGCUCCCCAAGGGGAUGAGCUAGGUCGCACAUAACCUUUACUCUCCAACUCUUCGAUUUGUCUUUUGACUUCUGCUAACUCAUUAGCUGCCAUUCGGUAGGGUCUUUUUGCAAUUGGAGCUGUGCCUGGUGCCAGUUCUAUGGCGAACUCGAUCUCUCGGUCUGGUGGCAUUCUUGUUAAUUCUUCCGGAAAUACGUCGGGAUAUUCACAGACUAUGGGCACCGACUCCAAGGAGGUGACUUGUAAACAGGUUAGGAUGGACCGACUUGCGGUAGGGUUGUUAGGGGUAAAGCGGACUUGCUUUCCUCCAGGUCCUUGCAAGGUGAUGGACUUUUCGGCACAAUCUAUCUGUCCUUUGUGCUUAGCCAACCAAUCCAUCCCUAGGAUGAUGUCCAAGCUUUGCGAGUCUAGGACUAUCGGUUUGGCUAGGAAGUCAACUUCCUCAAUUCUAAGGUUAACUUCCGGGCAUAUUUGAGUUGCCCUUAUAUUCCUUCCAGAGGAAUGUACUAUCAUUGGUACACGCAAAUUUUGGGUUUUCCAACCAUUUCUUUUCACAAAAGCUUGCGAUAUGAAGGAAUGGGAAGCUCCCGAAUCAAACAGGACUAUUGCGGGUACGGAGUUGACAGAGAACAUACCCAUCACAACGUCUGGAGCAUCCUGAGCGGUUUCAGCUUGAAUGUGAUUCACACGUCCUCGACCAAAGUGGUUGGAAGCACGAGAACCUUGUCCACUUGCCUGAGAGCUAGGACGAGACUGAGCUGCCGCUGGAGUAGGAGUUCUGGCGGUGCUGCCAUUAGCAUGCCCUGAGUUGGUGUUGGUAGGAUUCUGAGGACACUGUCUAGCAUAGUGACCCAUCUGGUUGCACCGGAAACACUGAACUGCUGAUGGUCCCUGCGGUGACUUGAAAGAGGUAACACUGUUAGGCGCUGUAUUGCCACUAGGGGCACGCUGCUGUGGCGGAGGUGCCGGACGGUUUAUCUGAGGACGAGGGGCGUAGCCUGGCUGGCGGUUAGCCUGAGUGACCGACUGAUGGUAUUGCAUGGGUUGACCGUAGCGAGGGCGAGGUGCGCCUCGGGAAGAAUUUCCCUGAUGGUUAGACUUGCGUUUCUUGUAUUCUUCGGUAGCCUCUUUUCUGGCAUCCUCAAGUAGAAGUGCUUUGUUGAUCAUAUGUUGAAAAGUGGGGAAGUCAUGAGCAAGCAACUGGAGUCUCAUUCCAACUGCGAUUCCUUUCAAGAAUUUCCUAAUCUUUUUCUUAUCUGUGUCUACUUCCUCAGGGGCGUACCGAGCCAACUUGUUGAACUGACUUAGGAACUCAUUGACACUGCUGUUGCCUUGCUUAAGUCUGUUAAAUUCUUCUUUCUUCAUGUCAAUAGUGCUUUCAGGCACAUGAGCUGCACGAAAAGCCGUAGCGAACUCAUCCCAAGCAAUGUUAGUGGGUUCAGGGUGUGCAUUGCAGUAAUUCUCCCACCAAUCUGCGGCAGGUCCUCUUAGCUGGUGAGAGGCGUAGAGCGUCUUCUCAACAGGAGUACACUGCACUAAGUUGAGUUUUCUAUCAACAUCUUUCAACCAAUCAUCAGCCUCGACGGGCUCGACGGUCUGAGAGAACUCUGGCGGACGAGACCUCAGAAAGUCUGUCAGCUUGGAUCUGUUGUUGCCCAUGUGAGGGUGGCCAUUUCCAUGUGCAUUAUGCUGAAAACUGGCUAUGACUGUGGUUAGUCCUUGCAAGAUUUGUGUCUGAACUGCCAUUAAGUGUUGCAUGUUGUUUUCCACAUGAGGUGGGGAAGGGAGGCGUUCUUCUCCAGAAUUGUGACUGGCAGUGCGGUGAGAGCGGUGAGACUGCUCCAUCUCUGCAUCACGGGAAACUGUGCGAUGCGAGCGGCUGCUGCGGCGGGGUUGCUCAACCUCUGCGUUGCGGGAAACAGUACGGUGCGAACGGUUGCUGUGGUGAGACUGCUCAUUAGCUGAUUCAUGAUUUGCUUCUGCUUCAACUCUACCAUCUUCAAAACCAAAGCGGGCUGGUGCACGAGCUGCACGGCGGGGGCGGCUAGCCAUCUAAACUCCCAGAAAAGGGCGGGGUAAGAGUCAGAUAAGCACUUAGGAGGGCAAGGAGCAAAGCAAAUAGCAACUCAGAUAGCACACACUAGGCAUAAACUGGAUUUUUCAAAUCAUAAAAACACCUGAUACAACGGGUGUGGACAAGUCACAGAGCUACGCCGAGCUUGACUGUGCGCACACCACCUAGGAGAACCAGACUACCAAACAACACCCACAUCAAACACACACACGCACUACCUCGCCACGACUCCAAAAGAGUUGGCGGCGGAACAAAAGGGCCUGACACACGGACGGCUGCUGAAGACUGCCUCCUCUACUCCUCGUCGGCCUGGCUGCCUCCUGUAGUCGGCUCCUCUGUCGAAGAAACGUCGAUCGGCUGGUGCGAAGGGACCGGCGGAACCUGUCGAGGGCCGGCAGCAGCACGGGCUGCUGGCGGUGGGGGAGCUGGGUAGUGGAAACGGAACACGGUGGAAGAACCAACAACACGCUUCCGCGCAGUGCGGAUAAAGCGUGGGCCACGGCGGGAGGAAGCAACUUUGUCUUAUGUUUGGAUGAAAUUCCAAGGAAUCGGUCCUUAAGUGCGAGAGCGGGAAACCGUACACCCGGUACGUUCCCCGGUCCGCGGUUUUGGAAAUUCAUUUAGUUCGCAAGCACCGACCCAGGUGUCGGGUUUUCCAAGUCUUUUGUAAAACUCCAGUUUUACCCAAGUUGUUACUCAGAUUUUAAGUUUGAAGGCGACCGUCGAUACUUGCACAGAGUGCACGAAUAUCGAGGUGCAACUGGGUGGUUACAAGGGGACAUAGUAUGGCAAUUAACAAUGGAAGGAUCAAAUGCAACAAGUUAGGUAAGUCCGCCAAUCUGUCUUGCAGAUGGGACAAAAGAUUUAGUGCGAUCCUAUCAAUGCAUAAUAUUUUGCAAGCAAUAUAAUUAAAUUCCAAAUAUAGGCUCAAGAUGUUCAAAGGUGGCUUGCCUUGCUCGAGAUCUGGAGCUUGAUCCUCGAAAUCCUCGCACUACGGGUCUUCGGGCUCCGAAACUACACGCGAAACGGGACAACUCAACAAACGGCAAAAAAAUAAAGCCCUAUUAAUGACCUCUAAGCGUGCCAUUAGAUAGAUCUCGAGAGUUGGGGAAAUUUGGAAGUUGAACGGAGUCAAACGGAUUUACGGUUGGGAAGAUAUUGAAUUUCUAAGAUUAUUGAAUUUUUGAUCUAAAGGAAAAGGAUUUAAUUAAAUCCUUUUUGGAAAAGAAAAGGAAGAGGGAGGAGAAGUAGACUUCUCUCGGGCGGCUAGGGCGCGGCCCAAGGGAAAUGGAGCGGACCGGCCGAUCUUAACGGGCCGGCCGGCCCAAGACGGCCCAAGCGCGCGCGCGCGCUGGAGAGAGGAGAGAGAGUCCGGUGGACCGGGCUCACUACGCGCGGUCCCGGGUGGGACCCGCUUGUCAGCGGCUCGGCUCACCGUGCGGAGGGAGUUUGCGGCGUACGCACGCGGGCGGGGCUGGGACGCAGUGCACGCGCGCGGUUCGCGGAGGAACGGAUGCGGCGGGCCCACGCGCAGCCUCACGGCUCACCGCGGACCAUGCGCACGGGGGAAAAACGGAGGGAGCGGCUGGCCGGGUCGGCUUAUCCGGUCGCGGCCGAGGUGGCGCCGACGUGGCGCCUACGUGGCAGCCACGCGGGCCGGCGGGAGGUAGACGACGACCCGGCCGCGAAUGGACGGCGGGCGACAGCGGCGAGCGGCGGAGCGAGCCACGGCGAUACCGGCGAAAGCGAGCACACCGGGUGGCUGCACAGGACGAGGGGAGACGAGCCAACGGCUCGGAUUCGCCGGAGGGAGUCCGUCGGCGGCGGAUUGCGGCGGCGGCAACCGGCGGAGAGGAAAGGGGGAAACGGCGACGAGGUCCCGAGGGGCUAAUUCCCGGCGGCGAGAGCAUCUACGCGGCUUUGGGAACUCGACGCUUGCGUCGGAUUGGACGGAACUACGCCGAGCGAGGCCGGCGACGAGCGGGUGCUACGGAGCUCGGGCGGCGACGGCGGCGAGCAUACGGCGAGCGAUGGCAACGGUCGGGGCGGCGCCGGCUAACUACGGGGAGUCUACUCAAGCUACUAUCGAAAGCUAGGGGGAGGAGAUGGAGCGAGGAGGGAGAACGGAGGGAGGCACUACCGUGCGGGACGGGCGCAGUGACGAGAGGCCGACGGCGCGGGAGUGAUCUCUCCGGCCUCGGGCCGAGGAAGAGGGUGAAGAGGGCGCGCCCGGAGUCCCCUUCCGCGUCCACGAACGCACCGGCUCUCCCGGCGCUUGGCGAUGGACGGCGGAGGCGAGGCAGAGCACGGGAGCGGCGGCAAUGGUGCGGAGGCGAAUGGGAGAGGAGGGGAAAGGGGAGGCUGGGGUUUAUAGGGGGCGGCAAUGUCAGUUUGGGAAUCGACUUGCGCGGUCAAGGGCGCGAGCUGGCGCUCCGGCUAGCGGCCAAAACGGCGACAAGAGGAUGACGCCGGCGAGAAGGGAAAAAGGGGAGAAAAAGAAGAAAAGGAGGGAGAGAAAGGGGGCUCGCCCCUUUGCCGAUUCGGGAAAAGGAGGAGGGGGCGGGGCGACGCGGCAGAGGGAAGGGAGAGCUCGGCCUCCGCCUCUUGGCGGCUUGCGCGCGGAGUGGCGGGGCCGGGGGAUGACGACGGCGAUGACGGUGAGAUGGUUUGGAGCGGCGCGACGACACGGGCGACAGGCGCGGCAGGCGCUGACGACGGCGGCGACUGGGCGGUCGGCCACUCGGCGCGCGCGCGCGGGAAACAACGGGCGGCGUCCGCGCGGGCGCGCGCCCGCGAACACGGCGCGCGGGAAGCGGCUUUGCGAGCGGGGAGCUCGCGCGAGGGGAGGGGCGCUCAGCGCGGGCGACUCCCGCGCACGCGCGCGCGGCGCGCGGGCAGGACGGAGGGGAAGCGGGGAGAGAGGCGCUCGGGGCGACUCUCGCACGCGCGAGCAGCGUGCGGGCGAGGCUGAGCGGGGGGGGGGGGGGAGGAGCGCGCCAGGGGGGGGAGAGAGAGAGAGAGAGAGAGAGAGAGCGCGCCCGGGAGAGAGGGCCGGGGGAGAGAGAGAUGGGCCGAGCGAGAUUCGGCCCAUCGACCUCGGGGGAGGCAAAAUAGACUUUUGCGGAGGAAUUUGAUUGGAAGGAUUUGGAUUCGGAAUUGAACUCGACGAUAGAUCGGGGAUUGAGAUCUUGAGAUGGCACGGACACUAAACAACAAUCAAAGAAACAAAUUUCGCAAUUAGGGUUUUUCCGAGAUAAUUUUCCCGCUAGGCGCCACGACGGAACGGGCGCUACAGCCAGCCCUCCGCGCGCCGCGCCGCCGCGAGGGGCGGGCCUCUGCACCCCGCCGUUGCAGAGGGAGGUGGGGAGGAGGGAGAGGAAGAGAUAAGGGUGAUGGGGAGGAGGGAGAGGAGGAGAGAAAGGGAGGAGGGAGAGGAAGAGAUAAGGGUGAGUGGGUGACUUUGUGAGGAGAUGAGUUAAAAAAGGAGAGGAGGAGAUUGUAUUGAUCCGAUCCGCGUGCAACUAGCCUGCUUAUGUCGACUUUUUUCCCGGUUGGUAACACCAACCGGGACUAAACAUAGAUCUUUAGUCCCGGUUGGUACAUCAACCGGGAGUAAAGCUUAUAUUGAUCUUUUUUCCCGAUUGGUAACACCAACUAGGACUAUAAAUAGAUCUUUAGUCCCGGUUUUCAACACUAACCGGGACUAAAGAUCAAAAAAUUCCUCAAAGCUUUCAAACCGGGACUAAAAAUAUUUUUAGUCCCGGUUUUUAAUACAAUCGGGACUAUUGUGAAAUUUGGUAGACCGACCAAAGAUGGUUUCUACGUGAGAGGAGCCUCUUCCCAGUUAGCAAGUCACGUAUUGAACAAUGGAGACAAAUUGAUGGCCAGAGCCCCGAAGCAUAUAUUAUUACUUUUUUAAAAAAUGUGAGAAAUAAAAGGUUAGUAGUAUUUUGUGAGUUGCAAUAUGUACACCAUCCUUUUUUGAAGUAAAGAGUAAAAGGGAGCUAAAAGUGUUGCUCUUAAAUUAAGUGAGGUGGACGGAAGAGGUAUGUUAAUCCGCAAAAUAAUAAUAAAAAAAGUGGUUUUUGUUUUGCUUGGGUGCACUUUAUCUAAUGUGCUUUUAAAAUGUAUUUAUUCUUUUUUAAUAUUUUGCAAGGCUGUAGGAUGUGUAAGGACCAAUUUAUUAUUACGAUUGAGGCAAGCAGAAAAUUGACUAGCAUAUGACUGAUGUUUAAGCGUUGAAGAGUCAUAAAUUUUAAAUUAAUAUUUUGAUUUUUUUUGAGAGGAAAACUAACUGUUUCCAUUAACCCAUUGUCUCGACAGAACCGUCGAUAACCAAAUCCUCAACGCCAGGUGGAGUUCCAUCCCAGCUGAGAACAGUAUUGUCUGGGCUAUUACAUCCAAAUGCGGCUAAAGCGUCGGCCACCUUAUUACAUUCACGUGGGCAAUAACCAACACGGAAAGAAAGAAAAGCCAAAGCAAUAAACUUCUUCAUUUGCAGGACGAAGCCACCUAACGCUGCAAGAUGGAUGUUGCUCUCCUUCAGGGCUUGGACAAGCAACAGCGAGUCCGUCUCCAAGUGAAUAUGCGCUAUACCCCACUGUGCUGCCGCUUCAAGUCCCUUCACUGCCGCCAGAAUUUCAGCAUGGAGAGUGACGGAGCUCGUGGCUCCUCACCGGGAGACCGCGCAGGCCCCCCUUUGCCGGUUCGACCGGGGGCUUAGGGUGAAAUCCCAAGCUCUCGCUGUAUGUGGAAAGAUCGCGAACCCGGAAGAAACGCGAGACGCAGGAGACGUAUACAAGUUCGGGCCGCUGGGAAGCGUAAUACCCUACUCCUGUGUUUUGGUGGAUCUGUGUAUGGACAAGUUACAAAGUAUGAACCAGCCAAAAAGAUCCCCAUUCUAGGUGGGCAAGGUCCUCCUUUUAUAUCUCAAGGGGAUACCACAUGCCCCUCUCCCUUUCCAAACUGGACUGUUCUUCUCUUCAUAAAUGGACGGAGAUCGGUACGGUUGCUGUCCGAGUGCCCUUCUGACGGGACAGCCCAUACCUACCCCCGCUUCCGCCGGAAACAGGUGCAACAUGGGAUUAUGGCUGUCUGUGGAUGACGCGACCAGUGUCAGACCGGUCACAGAUUAGUCAUCCUUGUCUACCAUGCGUCAGCUUAGCAACGUGCAUGUUUGCCCUUCUUCAUGUAACAUCUUGCAUGUAAUGGUUGGGAUGAAGCCUGGUAUAAAUCUAACCAGGGCUAACGUGCCAUCUCUAAGAGAUAACACGCUAGCUCCGGCUUGAGACAAGUGCCUAGAGGCUUUCGUCUUGACGGGAUGGGGCAAGGCGUGCGUCAGACCGCCAGUCGCCACCUAACCCGUGAUCUGACCGGUCUGUGACCGGUCACAGACCGGAUAAAGGAACGCGCUGCACUGCGCUGCAUGCAGCGUGACACGCUUGACCAGACUACAAUAAAUGCGGUUAGGUGAGCACUGCCGUGUUCACCUAUCCCAUAUAUGUGGCGCAAACUUCCUCAAGGGGUCGGGGUGCCUCGGCCCUCGGGGCCGGGGCAGGAGUAACCCGACCCCCCCCUCGGGAGAAAUCAGGAGGAGGGCAGACACCUCACCCUCGGGCCCGACGUCCCCGAAGGUGCCAGGCCGCGUGGGCGAUUGUGUCUGCCUCAAGCCUCUGGUCACGAUACCCCCGGUCCCAUAUCACCGACAGUAGCCCCCGGCGUUAUGCCAGGGCGAUCGCCCUUCUCAAGGGAAGCGGUCGGGCGUAACGCCACUCCUAAAGCUUGGUGACAGGUGGGACCGGUUUCCAUGGUUGCGCAGAAACCCAACGGUCUCAAACCAUGCACAUCGGUAAUGGUAACUUGGCUGUCCAUAAUGGGCGGUCUCUUCAAGACUGCCACAUCACUUGAGCAGCGCACGAAUCUGGGUGAGCUGAUUUGCUUCGCCUGGAGAUAUGGUAACGUCGCUUCGGUCGGCGAGCGUAAUUAACGCGCGCACGAUACGAUCUAUCUCGACUGCCGCAACCGCACAUCCACUUCAUGCGCCGCAAGCGGGCGAAUGGGAUUAGUGGAAGCGUGGGCACGAGAAACGAGGGAGCGAGAUAGCGAGAAACGAGGGAGCGAGAUAGUGGGCGCGAGAAACGAGGAGCCGGGCACGGCGAUGGCAAGGGUAUAAAGACACCGAGGAAAAGAUUUGCUCCCUUCCUUUCGCCAUUAUUCCCCUUGCCUUCGCCGCUUGCGCCCUAACUCCUUCUCUGCUGCGCCCCACCUUCGCCACACGCGCUCGUUCUCAAUCAUCCCUUCCUCCGGCGCCAUGGCACGGGGCUCCGCUCUGCUCGACGGUAGCGUACUACUGCCUUCUCGCAUCGUGAGCGAGAGGCAGGCCGGGCUGCCGCGCCGCUUCAUGCCGGAAUCUGCCACCGGCCGGGAGAUAGUGAUGCUGGGCGAGGGACGCCCGGCACCAGACUACCCGGGGCGGUCCGUCUUCUUCCUCCCCUUCGCAAUGGCGGGGCUGGUUCCGCCAUUUUCUUCCUUCUUUAUGGACGUUCUGGAGUUCUACGAUCUCCAGAUGGCGCACCUCACCCCCAAUGCGGUGAUGACAUUGGCCAUCUUCGCGCACCUGUGCGAGAUGUUCAUUGGGGUGCGCCCAUCUCUUCGGCUGUUCCGGUGGUUCUUCACCGUGCAGUCGGUGUCGCCGCCGUCGGUGGUUGGUGGCUGCUACUUCUAGCCGCGGGGGCCGGUGCUGAACCGCUACAUCCCCUGCGUCCUCCGCAAGAAGUGGGACGACUGGAAGAGCGACUGGUUCUACACCCCCCUCGCCAACGAAGCGCGCCUCCGACUUCCAAGCCAGCCCCCGGCGCAGGUCUCCAGCUGGCGGGCGCCGGUAGAUCUGGGGGAUGACUAUGACGCCGUCCUUGAUCGCCUGGCGGGCCUGCGAUCCCAGGGGCUUACAGGGGCCAUGGUGUACGGCGACUACCUCCGUCGCCGGAUUGCGCCGCUCCAGCGGCGCGCCCGGAGCGCCUGGGAGUACUCCGGGUCCGAAGACUACAUGCGGACCCACCAAGGAGUCAGAUGGGAUUGGGCUCCCGAGGACUUCAAGAUCGUGGUCCAAAGGGUGCUGAAUCUCAGCUCCGUGGAGGCGUCUCUCAUUCCUCAAGGAAUCCUCCCCCUCUGCAGCGAUCCCGACCGCGCCUCUAUUUUGACCAUUAUGAUGGGGGUCGGGGCCUCAGAGGAGGAAACCCCUAAGGGCCACGACGGCGUGGGCGAGAGCCGCCGGGGGGGACAAUCUACCCCAGGAGGGGGUCGUGCUUCUGGCCCCGCGUCGGGGGCUCGGGGAGCAGCCGCCCUGCCGACGCCCAGGGGAAGAGGAAGCUGGGAGGAACACCUCCCCCAUCUCCUCCCCGAGGGGGCGGGGCGGUGCGUGCCAGCAGUCGGCGCCCGGAGGGGGCCGCGCCGUCAUCGCAACCCGAGGGGGAGCGCAAGAAGAAGCGGCUCCGUAAGAUGGGGGAGACGGAACCAUCCCGGGGAAACCUGAUUUCCCCUCCAAGGUGGUCAUUUAACCGACCCCCUCGCAGGUUCGUCCCACUCUCAUUACGACCGUCUUUCUCCUAUCCCAAAAGCAAGUUUUCUCUUACCCAUCUUGUUUGUCUUCUGGUUUUUUCUUCUGCUUCAGCGAUGUCCCGUCGCGUUCCUCCCGCCACCCCAAGUCUGGCCAGUCCGAGGCCGAAGAUCCGGCGGCCGCAGAGGAACGGAGGCGAGAAUCUGACCGGCGAGAGGCCGCAGAUCGCCUUCGGGAAGCUGAAGAGGCCGCCCGGGAGGCCGCCCGGGUUCGUCAAGCGGAGAGUGCCGCUCGGGAGGAGGCCGCCCGGGCUCGCCAAGCUGAGGCGAUGGCGUCUUCCGAGGCAGCUCACGACAAAGCUGCUGGCGCGUCGCUUGGGCCCACUCCCUCGGGCGACGCUCAGGCGACGGCCUCUGGGGCGGCUCGCGACGAGGCCGCGGGCGCAUCGCCUGGGCCCACUCCCUCGGGCGACGCUCAGGCGACGGCCUCCGGGGCGGCUCGCGACGAGGCCGCGGGCGCAUCGCCUAGGCCCACUUCUCCGGGCGACGCCCAGGACCAAACGGGUCCGGGGGACAUCCCCGAGCCCAGCGCCUCCUCCGGCGGGCCGAGCCGCGUCGCGUUCUCUCCAAGGCGGCUCUUCUCCUCGUCUUCUGUCGCCCCGCUGAGCGCCGAGCCCCUUCUGCAGGCCUUGGCCGCCGCAAACACUGCGGUGCUAGAUGGGUUCAGCGCCCAAGUGGAGGCCCUGCGAGCGGAACGAGCGGAGCUCGAGGCCGCAUGGGCGCGUGUCGAGGAGGGACGGCGCUCGGUGGACGUCAUGGUGGAGGUGGGCCGUAAGGCGCACCGCCGUCACGUCUCGGAGCUAGAAGCCCGCAAAGCGGCGCUGGCGGAGAUCGCCCGAGAGGUGGAGGAGGAGCGGGAGGCCACCCUCAUCGCCACCACUGCGAUGAUCGAGGCGCAGGACACCCUCCGCCUUCAACACGCGAGCUGGGAGGCGGAGCUAAAGAGAAAGCUCGACGCCGCCCAAGGGGUCCUUGACACCGCCGCUGCCCGAGAGCGGCGGGCGACGGAGACUGAAGCGGCGUCCCGGCGGCGCGAGGAGGUCCUUGAGGCCCGUGCCAUGGCACUGGAAGAACACGCCGGCGCCGUGGAGAGGGGCUUGGCGGACCGCGAGGCCGCCGUCGCCAUCCGGGAGGCAACGCUGGUGGUGCAUGAGGUCGCCUGCGCCGAAGAGGAGUCCGCGCUCCGCCUCCGCGAGGACGCACUUGCUGAGCGGGAGCGAGCUCUCGAGGAGGCCGAGGCCGCGGCGCAACGGCUGGCGGACAGUCUGUCCCUCCGCGAGGCAGCGCAGGAGGAGCAGGCGCGCCGCAAUCUGGAAUGUGUCCGCGCCGAGAGAGCCGCACUGGAGCAGCGGGCUGCUGACCUCGAGGCGCGGGAAAAAGAGCUGGCCGCGAGAGCGCCCAUCGGUGGGGCGGCUGCGGGCGAAAGCGACUUAGUCGCCCGCCUCGCAGCUGCCGAACACACCGUCGCCGACAUGCAGCGCGCCCUUGACUCAUCCGCCGGGGAGGCCGAGGCCCUCCGCUUGGCGGGCGAGAUAGGGCCUGGCACACUUUGGGAUGCGGUCUCCCGCCUAGAUCGCGCCGGUCGGCAAGCGGGCCUCUGGAAAGGCCAAACAAUGCCGCACUCCACCAAUCUGGAAGGCCUCGCUCCGCGCCUCACGAAGAUGGCCUGGGCUCUCCAACAACUCCCCGAGGAGCUCGAGAAGACCAUUAAGUCAUCCUCGAGGGACCUCGCCCAAGGAGCGGUCGAACUCGUAUUAGCGAGUUACCAGGCCAGGGACCCCAACUUCUCUCCGUGGAUGGCGCUGGAUGAGUUCCCUCCCGGGACCGAGGACGAUGCGCGCGCGCGGGUCCGGGAUGCCGCCGACCACAUCGUCAACAGCUUCGAGGGCUCGGCCCCUCGGCUCGCGUUCGCCCCCAACUCCGACGAGGAGGGCGACGCCAGCGGUGCAGACAACGAUGGCGACGAGGCCGGCGACCCGGGCGCAUCGGAAUGAGCCCCCAGGCCCCCGCCAAUCUCCAAUUUUUUCUUUUUCUUUCUUCUAAGGCCUUCAUGCCUCUUUUUUGUAUAGAUCAACUUAAUCUGGAAUCAAAAAUGAAAAAAUUCUUCGUGUCAAUUUUAUUUUGCUAUGCGUAUGAGAUGAGGAUGAUCUGUGCCGUGGUCCUCUUUUGUGUCUUAGCUUGAUUUAAGGGCUCGUGCCCAAGUCCCAGUCCUCUAAUGGCUCGGGUCGGGGCUAGUGCCUGGGGAGAUCCACAUGUUGAGGCUGGCCAGGCCGGGAACGUGGUGACCGAGGGUUAUAGGUGACCCGAUUGUGGGUUUUUGCCGAUUCCCCCCCGGAGUUCACCACGCCCCGGGGCACGGCUCAGUUCUGGGCCCCGUUUGGCGAUUUUAGCUGACCGAACCGAGCCCCCGAGGGCAAGGUUGAGCACGAGUGACCUUAUUUCAAGUCAAGAUUCUUCAAAAGGAAAAAACGGCACAGACACAACCUUUAGGAAAUUGAAACUGCUUUUUUUGAAACGCUGAAAUAAGAGAAAUAAUAAUGUGCAUGCGUGGUAGCCCCCGGCCAACCCUGCACACCCGAGGGGGGGGGUGCGGGGUUGGCCCGAGCCCGAAACCUGACACCCGACCCCUCCCUCAGGGCUAGAAGCGACGAAGGUGUUCGAUGUUCCACGGGUUAGGCAGCUCAGUGCCGUCGCCCGUGGCCAACCGUAUGGAGCCCGGCCGGGGGACACCGAUCACUCGAUACGGACCCUCCCACAUUGGUGAGAGCUUGCUCAAUCCAGCACGCGUUUGGACGCGGCGUAAGACGAGGUCGUCGACGCAGAGUGAUCGGGCCCGGACGUGGCGCUGAUGGUAGCGCCGCAGGCUCUGCUGGUAGCACGCGGCUCGGAGGGCCGCGCGCCUCCUUCGCUCUUCCAAGUAGUCGAGGUCAUCUCUGCGAAGCUGAUCUUGAUCGGCUUCGCAGUACAUGGUGGCCCGAGGAGACCUCAGGGUGAGCUCGGAUGGGAGAACCGCUUCUGCGCCGUAGACGAGGAAGAAAGGCGUUUCCCCGGUUGCUCGGCUUGGUGUGGUUCGGUUUGCCCAGAGCACCGCUGGCAACUCCUCGAUCCAUGAAUCGCCGUGCUUCUUGAGAAUAUUGAAGGUCUUGGUUUUAAGGCCUUUGAGGAUUUCUGCAUUGGCGCGCUCCACUUGGCCAUUGCUUCUGGGGUGGGCAGGUGAGGCGAAGCAGAGCUUGAUGCCCAUGUCUUCGCAGUAAUCGCCGAAGAGUUCACUAGUGAAUUGGGUGCCAUUAUCCGUAAUAAUACGGUUAGGCACUCCAAAACGGGCCGUGAUGCCUUUAAUGAAUUUAAGUGCAGAGUGCUUAUCGAUCUUGACGACCGGAUAAGCCUCGGGCCACUUAGUGAACUUGUCGAUCGCGACAUACAGAUACUCAAACCCGCCCGGGGCCCGCUUAAACGGUCCCAGGAUAUCGAGCCCCCAGACAGCAAAUGGCCACGAAAGUGGUAUGAUCUGCAGGGCCUGGGCCGGCUGAUGGAUCUGCUUGGCGUGAAACUGACACGCUCUGCAUCGCCGGACCAGAUCAACUGCAUCAUUGAGAGCUGUCGGCCAAUAGAAUCCUUGACGAAAGGCCUUGCCAACCAAGGUGCGCGAGGCGGAAUGGGCUCCGCACUCGCCUUCAUGGAUAUCGGCAAGAAGCUCAACGCCUUGUUCCUGAGGAAUGCAUUUCAGGAGGAUUCCGUUAGCCGCGCGCCGAUAGAGGGUCCCUUCUACCAGCACAUAGCGUUUGGAAAUGCGUUGGACGCGUUCACUCCCUUCGCGGUCCUCAGGUAGAGUCUUAUCUGUGAGGUAUGCUUGGAUCUCAGAGAUCCAUGCAAUCAAUCUAAGGGAGCUUGGAGCGCUCCCUUCGGGUCCCGAGGCCUGGACUCCGACGGGCCUCGGGGGCCGAUCAGGCGCAUCCGUCUCCCCUAAGGGGUCGGGUCGCGCCGACGGCUGGGUAAGCCUUUCUUCAAAGGCGCCCGGUGGGGUCUGGGCUCGCGAGGACGCGAGCCGUGAGAGUUCGUCAGCAACCAUGUUAUCCCGUCUGGGUACAUGCCGAAGCUUUAUCCCGUCAAAAUGGCGCUCCAUACGCCGCACUUGGCGUACGUAAGCGUCCAUCUGUGGGUCAGAGCACCGGUACUCCUUACAGACCUGGUUAACGACCAGCUGGGAGUCGCCUAACACCAAGAGGCGGCGGAUCCCCAGUCCAACUGCCACUCUGAGUCCGGCAAGGAGUCCCUCGUACUCUGCCAUAUUGUUGGUUGCUCGAAAGUCGAGACGGACCAAGUAUCUAAGGACGUCUCCUUUCGGAGAGGUCAACGUGACCCCCGCUCCGGCGCCCUGGAGAGACAGAGAACCGUCGAACUGCAUCACCCAGUGGGAGGUGUGAGGCAGCUGUGAGGGGUCCGUGCUGGCCUCGGGAAUUGAGACGGUCUCUGGAGCCGGGGUCCACUCUGCCACAAAAUCGGCGAGGGCUUGGCUCUUGAUAGCGUGGCGUGGUUCAAAGUGCAGAUCGAACUCAGAAAGCUCGAUUGCCCAUUUUACCACCCGUCCGGUACCCUCGCGAUUACGCAAGAUUUGACCGAGGGGGUAAGACGUAACCACAGUGACCCGAUGCGCCUGGAAAUAAUGGCGCAGUUUCCUCGAGGCCAUCAGAAUAGCGUAAAGCAUCUUCUGGGCCUGAGGGUAUCUGGUCUUGGCGUCCCGGAGGGCCUCACUAACAAAGUAGACAGGCCGCUGCACCUUUCGGCGGGGCCGAUCCUCUUCGCUAGGGGCCGUACCCCCGGGGCGUUCUUCGUCCAAGUGGCCCCUCGGGGCGCACUCGUCUUCUGUGCCGAUGACCUCGGGGUCGGAGGAUGACAGGAGCGGCCUUCCCACAGUGGCCUCGGGGCCGUCCUGGGGGUCGGGGGCUCCUGGCGUCGUCGGACAAGCGGGCAAAGGGCCAACUCCGGGCGUCAGGGGCCUCAGGCCUCCGUUCGGCUCGGGGGCCUCUUCUCCCUGCUCUCUCCCGGGUCGAGUCAGCACAGGGUUAGCCUCGGGGCCAAAGGGCGAUAGGUGCGGCCUUCCCUCAGUGGCCUCGGGGCCUUCCUGAGGGUCGGGGGCACCCAGCACCGUCUGACAAGCGGGCAGAGGGCCGACUCCGGUCGUCAGGGGCCUUAGGCCACCGUUCGACUCGGGGGCCUCUCCUCCCUGCUUGCUCCCGGGCCAAGUCGGCACAGGGUGGGGGUGCGCGGAAUGAGGAUUGUCCUCAUCGCGCUCCACAACCAACGCUGCACUAACUACUUGGGGGGUCGCCGCUAAGUAAAGUAGCAGGGGCUCAUUUGGCUCCGGGGCAACUAGAACCGGAGGAGAGCUGAGAUACGCCUUCAACUGGGCGAGGGCAUUUUCAGCUUCCUCCGUCCAAGUAAACGGCCCCGAGCGCUUGAGGAGCUUAAAUAAGGGUAGCGCCUUCUCUCCCAGCCUCGAUAUGAAACGACUUAGGGCGGCCAUGCAACCGGUGACGCACUGCACAUCCCUAAGUUUGCUGGGGGGGCGCAUCCGCUCUAUAGCUCGUAUCUUCUCGGGGUUGGCCUCGAUGCCUCGGGCAGAGACCAAGAACCCGAGAAGCUUGCCCGCAGGUACACCAAACACGCACUUAUCGGGGUUCAGUUUUAUGCGGGCGGCGCGGAGAUUUUCAAAAGUUUCCGCUAGAUCUGAGAGUAAAGUCUCUUGGUUGCGCGUCUUUACAACCAAGUCAUCAACAUAAGCCUCAACAUUACGUCCUAUUUGACUACCCAAAGAAAUUCGAGUAGUACGCUGAAAAGUAGGACCUGCAUUCUUUAACCCGAAGGGCAUUGAUGUAUAACAAUAGGUUCCUACGGGGGUAAUGAACGCAGUUUUUUCCUCAUCCUCCCUAGCCAUGCGAAUCUGAUGGUAACCAGAGUAUGCAUCUAGAAAACACAAAAGGUCGCACCCCGCAGUGGAGUCGACAAUCUGAUCUAUGCGAGGCAGGGGGUAAGGGUCCUUAGGACAUGCCUUGUUAAGGUCGGUGUAGUCGAUGCACAUCCGAAGCUUGCCGUUCGCCUUGGGAACGACCACCGGGUUCGCCAGCCACUCCGGAUGGAUGACCUCACGGAUGAAUCCGGCCUCCAGAAGUCUCGCCACCUCCUCGCGGAUGAAGGCUUGACGUUCCGGGGCCUACCGCCGCACUUUCUGCCGGACCGGCCUCGCGCCCGGCCGCACGGCGAGACGGUGCUCAAUCACCUCCCUGGGGACCCCGGGCAUAUCCGCCGGUCUCCAUGCGAAGACGUCAGCGUUUGCCCGCAGGAAGGAGACGAGCGCGUCUUCCUAUUUGCCAUCCAGAAGACCACCGAUCCGUGUGGUCUUGGAUGGACCGUCGCCCAGGGCAACCUCCUUGACCGGGACCUCGUCGCAUGUGACAAUCCGCCGCCUCGGGGCGGUGGGGGCGGAGGUGCCAAGCCUCUCGUCACCACCCUCGUGCUUGGACGCAGCAGCGAGGUGGUCCGCGCGCUGCUCCAUGCAAGCGAGCGCAACUUUGAGGUCGCCAUGGACAGAGAUGGGGCCGCCGGGGCCCGGCAUCUUCAUCUGAAGAUAGGCGUAGUGAACCGCCGCCAUGAACUUCACCAACGCGGGCCUCCCCAGGACCGCGUUGUAGGGCAGACUGAGGUCCGCCACAUCGAAGUUCACCCGCUCCGUGCGGAAGUUGGCUGAUCCACCAAAGGUGACCGGUAGGUCGAUGUGACCUAACGGCCAUGUGUGCCCCAGCGUCACACCGAUAAUCGGUUGGGACGGCUGGAGCACCAUCCCCGGGGCCUUGAUGGCAUCAUAGGCCGCGGGGGAAAGGAUGUUGAGGGCCGCUCCUCCAUCUAUGAGGACACGCCCCAACUUCACGUUGCAGAUGGUGGGGGAAACCACCAUCGCAAUCUGCCCUCCCCGGGCAACGCACGGUGGGUGGUCGGUCUGGUCAAAGGUGAGGACAACCUCCGACCACCGUGCCCGACGCGUCGCCUCAUGAGUAGGGGCCGCGGCCAGAAGCUCUCGCUUCAUAGCCUUGAAGCUCCGGCGAGAGAUGUGAGCACACGCUCCCCCAUCGACAGUGGCAAUGGUGGCCCCAGGUUCUUGGAAACCUAGGUCAUCAUCACCGUCAUCGAUGUCAACAGCGGGGGCCUUCUGUUUGGCCUCACUUCGCCGUUUGCCGGAAGGAACCGCCGGGGACUUACCUUCCCGGCGCUCCUGCCUCCUGUCCUCCUCCCACUUCCUCGUUCGCUCCGCCAAAUUUUUGACGGCGCGGCAGUCCGCGAGAUCAUGGAGGGAGGUGUUGUGGACGGAGCACCACCUACCGGCUGGGCGCUCCCUGCUGGGAGUACCAGCCUCUUUCUUUUUGUCGCUUGCAGGCCUCCCCUUUCGGGUGGCCCGCGGAGCGCCCUCGACGGCGAGGACAUGACCCUCGUCGCCGGAAUGGACCGACCUCUUCUUCCUCCUCCUGUCAUGCCGCCCUGUCUGAGCGGCGGAUCCGGGGGCGGCCGAAGCUGCCACACCGGAACCGGAGGGGUUCCAGGUCCAAGCUUCCUCCUUACGAGCCACUCGGUCCGCGAGCUGAAAAAGCUCUGCGGUAGUCUGGGGCUCUUUGGAAACGAUCUUUUCGAGCAUGCGGUUGUGCCGCACACCCCCCCUGAACGCGUAGAUCACCGCGUGUGCAGGGAUGCAUGGUAUGGUAUUGCGGACUUGGCAGAACCGCUGAAUGUACGAGCGAAGCGACUCAUCAUCCCCUCGCUGUACGGCGUGCAAGUCCGCUUCUUCGCCUGGGCGCGGAUAUGUGCCUUGAAAGUUCAUGGUGAACUGUUGGCACAAAUCUUCCCAGGAGUGGACCGACGCGGGUGGCAGGUUCAUUAGCCAACCCCGCGCCUGUCCCUUCAGGGCCAUGGGAAAGAAAUUAGCCAUAACCCUGUCGUCACCCCCAGCGGCCUCAAUCCCGGUCGUAUAGACCUGGAGAAACUCGGUGGGGUUGACGCUCCCAUCAUACUUCUCGGUGAUGGUGGGCCGGAACCUUGGGGGCCAACGGACAUUCCGAAGACUCGCCACAAAGGCUCUACAGCCGACACCACCAGCCGGGGGCACGGAGGGCUGGUCCUCACGUCCAUGUCGAGGUGACACUCUGGACGAGGAGGCACCCUCCGUUUCACGGGGAGUACGCCGGCUAUUACGCCGGCGCUCGAUGUUGAGGCGGGCAUCCGGCUCCCCAUGCUGAUCCUCCCGAGUCGAAGGUGUCGAUGAGGGAGUGGCAGCCGAAUGACGUGCAGCCGCCGCCGCUCGCCGCGCCCUCCGCCUUGAUGACACGGAACCGGUGGUGGUGGCGCCGGAGGUCUUGGUGGUGGCGGACCGUCCACCAGCACCCAGGCGCUGCUGGGCCGUCAUGACCAAGUUGGCCACGUCGUCCAGCCAUCGCUGAGCUGGAGACUCCGGGUCAUGGACGACGGGCGGGUGACGUAGGAGCGCGCCAGCAGCCUGAAGCGCGCCCUGAGGCGUGCUGCCGUCGCCGUAGACGAGGAGGCGACGCUCCCCAUCUCGCCGUUCUCCUGCAUCACCCACGACCGGUGAUGCUGCGGAUUUAUCAACCCUCUCGAGCGCCUCCCCAUGCUUAGGAUUUUGGUGUGGAGGAGGUGGGGGAGUACGAGCUCGACGGCGUGGGUUUGGCUCCCCGUCGUCGCCGCUCACACUCGGAGAGAGGUCGUGCGCCUUUGCUUGCUCGACCAUUAGGCUGAACAAGGGAAACUUGGCGCACACGGAAGAGUAUGAGAGCUCAGAAAACACACGCUGAGCCCCCUACCUGGCGCGCCAGAUGACGGAGCUCGUGGCUCCUCACCGGGAGACCGCGCAGGCCCCCCUUUGCCGGUUCGACCGGGGGCUUAGGGUGAAAUCCCAAGCUCUCGCUGUAUGUGGAAAGAUCGCGAACCCGGAAGAAACGCGAGACGCAGGAGACGUAUACAGGUUCGGGCCGCUGGGAAGCGUAAUACCCUACUCCUGUGUUUUGGUGGAUCUGUGUAUGGACAAGUUACAAAGUAUGAACCAGCCAAAAAGAUCCCCAUUCUAGGUGGGCAAGGUCCUCCUUUUAUAUCUCAAGGGGAUACCACAUGCCCCUCUCCCUUUCCAAACUGGACUGUUCUUCUCUUCAUAAAUGGACGGAGAUCGGUACGGUUGCUGUCCGAGUGCCCUUCUGACGGGACAGCCCAUACCUACCCCCGCUUCCGCCGGAAACAGGUGCAACGUGGGAUUAUGGCUGUCUGUGGAUGACGCGACCAGUGUCAGACCGGUCACAGAUUAGUCAUCCUUGUCUACCAUGCGUCAGCUUAGCAACGUGCAUGUUUGCCCUUCUUCAUGUAACAUCUUGCAUGUAAUGGUUGGGAUGAAGCCUGGUAUAAAUCUAACCAGGGCUAACGUGCCAUCUCUAAGAGAUAACACGCUAGCUCCGGCUUGAGACAAGUGCCUAGAGGCUUUCGUCUUGACGGGAUGGGGCAAGGCGUGCGUCAGACCGCCAGUCGCCACCUAACCCGUGAUCUGACCGGUCUGUGACCGGUCACAGACCGGAUAAAGGAACGCGCUGCACUGCGCUGCAUGCAGCGUGACACGCUUGACCAGACUACAAUAAAUGCGGUUAGGUGAGCACUGCCGUGUUCACCUAUCCCAUAUAUGUGGCGCAAACUUCCUCAAGGGGUCGGGGUGCCUCGGCCCUCGGGGCCGGGGCAGGAGUAACCCGACCCCCCCUCGGGAGAAAUCAGGAGGAGGGCAGACACCUCACCCUCGGGCCCGACGUCCUCGAAGGUGCCAGGCCGCGUGGGCGAUUGUGUCUGCCUCAAGCCUCUGGUCACGAUACCCCCGGUCCCAUAUCACCGACAGAGAGCAUCUUGCAUUCGAGUCGAUUUGCCCGCUCCCGCUAGGACCACUUGUGCAUCCGCUCCCCUGGUAACAUAGCCCCAUCCUCCUAUUGCCCCCUGUGGUCUAAAAGCUCCAUCUAUAUUUAGUUUCAUAGUAUCCAACGUCGGUCUCUCCCAGUGGCUUGGUCUUCUAGCCUGCUUGACAACCGCCAGCAGAUGUGCCUCUCUUCUUCCAUCCCCCUCCCUUCUCCUAUUUCUCUCAUUCCACCAAGUAUACAGCAGCAAUGAGGCCGUUAAUUUUUCAUUCUCCCCCAGUGCAGAGAGCGCUUCCACAAUCGCCCUAGCAGAAUGCAAAUUGGCUAACUCGCAUGUUAAAUCUUCCAGAUUUAACUCCCUCCAAAUUUUCUUCACUUCCUUGCACUUGAAAAAUAGGUGGCCACCAUCUUCAUCAAGCCUGUUGCAGGCAACACACUUGGUAUCCAGGUCCAACCCUCUUCUCUUCAGUGUCAUGCGCAGGGCAAUAGAAUCAUGUCCCAACCGCCACAAAAAGUGUUUAAUUUUAUUUGGGCAGUUGAACUUCCAAAGCUUCUUCCAUACUUGAUCACCGGAGGGAUCGCCCGAUGAGGUUGCCGGAGACCUGGUGUCGUUUCUUCGCUGCAUAGCCUUCUGAACCUUAUAUGCCGAUCUGACUGAAAACUGCCCCUUACUGUCAAAGUGCCACCCAACAACAUCCUUCAUAUCUGUAUGAACCGGUAUUGACAGGAUGUGUUCAACAUCUUCCUCCCAGAAGGUUUGUCUCACUAGUGGCUCAUCCCACUCCCACGUGUAAGGAUCAAUCAGCUCAUUUACUCGAGUAACCAGGUUUGUGCCCCUGCAGGUGAUUGGCUUCCUUGUCCAAUCCCUCGGUAUCCAGGGAUCAUCCCAUAUCCGGAUAUUUUCACCGUUGCCCACUCUCCAGAUCAUGCCAUCCUUCAAAAUUUGUACCCCUUUUAAAAUACUUCGCCAAGUGUAGGACAUUCCCGGUCUCGGUGAUGCCUGCAAAAUUGAUGCCCCUGGGUGAUACUUUGCUCUCAAAAUUUGCGCACACAGCGAGUUAGGUUCCUGCAACAGCUGCCAACACUGCUUUGCCAACAUUGAGAGAUUAAAAGUAUAUAUGUCUCUGAACCCCAGCCCUCCCUCUCCUUUUGGCCUUGUCAAUUUCUCCCAACUGAGCCAAUGUAUUUUAUUUUCCUUAUCCUGAUUAUUCCACCAAAACCUGGCGAUCAUGGAGCUAAUCUGGUCCGCCAAAAUUCUUCGUUAUGUCAAAGCAUGCCAUGGCGAAAAUUGGGAUGGCUUGUGCAACGGCUUUGAUCAGGAUUUCCUUUCCAGCCCGUGAUAACAUCUUUUCCUUCCAGCCCUGAAUCCGUUUCCAGAUCCUGUCCUUCAGAUAUGCAAACACCUUCAUUUUGUCUCGACCGACAUAUACCGGAAGACCCAGAUAUCUCUCAUUCAUCGUCUGGCGAUUAAUUUGUAAGGCCUGCAUGACUUCAUUUCGCUUACUGUUCGACGUGUUUGGACUGAACAUCACCACCGACUUGUCCUUAUUUAUCAUUUGCCCGGAUAACUCCUCAUAUAGAGAUAGGAUCUCUUGUAGGCACUGUGCAUCACCUUUCAUUCUUCCUUCAUUCUCUGCUUGCUUCAGUAAGGCUGAGAAACCCUCUGCACACAGUAAGAACAGAUAGGGGGAAAGGGGGUCCCCUUGGCGAAGGCCCCUGCCCGGAUGGAAAACAUCCGUCAAUUCACCAUUAACCUUGAUUCUAUACGACACCGAAGUGACACAUUGCAUGAUCAAAUUUGUCCAUCCCUCGUCAAAACCCAGCCGCAACAUCAUCUCCCUUAAGAAAUGCCAUUCGACCCGAUCGUAGGCUUUACUCAUGUCAAGUUUGAUUGCUGCAUAUCCCAACUUCCCCUUUCUCUUUUUCCUCAUGAAGUGUGUCAUCUCAUAAGCCACUAAAAUAUUAUCCGAUAUAAGCCUUCCCGGGACAAAAGCGCUCUGAGAUGGAGAAAUCGCAUCGGGCAGAAUACCUUUCAAUCUAUUUGCCAAAACCUUCGACACAAUCUUGUAUAACACAUUGCACAAACUGAUCGGCCUUAGGUCCUUGAUGUUCUCUGGCUUAUUCACCUUGGGUAUCAGCACUAUAGUUGUUUCAUUCCACUCAGUCGGCAUAGGAGCUCCCCUCAGUACUGCCAGGGUCUCUUUCACUACUUGAUCACCGACCACGUCCCAAAAUCUCUUAUAGAACAGUGAUGGCAUUCCGUCUGGCCCCGGUGCUUUCAGAUCCCCGAUAUUAUCCAGUGCCUUCUUCACUUCUUCUUCAGAGAAAUCCCUUGUUAACUCUUCAUUCAUCUCAGCAUUGAUUCGCUGGGGAACAGCCUCCAGAAUUUGCCGGGGAUCACGUACUCCAUUUGAUGAGAAGAGCUGCAUAAAAUAGUUAGUAAUAAACUGUUUUUUUUCUUCCUCCUGUUCCACCCAUCCCCCAUCAUCCUUUCUCAGCCUUCCUAUUCUAUUACUUCUGCGCCUCUCCGAACAAGCCGCAUGGAAGAAAGAGGUGUUACGAUCCCCUUGCUGCAGCCACCGGACAUGAGCCCUUUGCCUCCAGUACACAUCAAUCUGUUCCUCCAGUCUUUCCACCUUGUACCGCAACACCUCCUCCCUCGUCACUUGAUCUAUCCCUAUAUUACCUCUCCUACACUUCUCUAACUCCUUUUUUAAAUACUUCAGCCUUUUCUCCAAAUCACCAAGAUUACAAUGUUAUGUGAUAUUACUGUUCUUAUUUUCUAUCAUACUUUUACACUUUUUUAUACAAAACAUAUUAGAUUUGAGUUAUUAUAAAAACUGGUGGUGCAAAAAGUAAGCACAACCAGCGAAAAAUUUCUGGCUGCACCAACAUAAAUCAAAACAUGGCUCAUAACUAAAACGAUUUUCCAAGAAUAACAACAAAGAGGAACAUCCGUUCCUCAUUUUAUUUCUUUUUAUUAUCAUUAUCACAAACAUAGAGAAGCAGCAUCCAAACAUGAUACUGCUAGCUAGUACUAGCAAACAUCGAUAAUUAAUUAAGCAAAGGCCUAAUUAAUUAAUUAAUCACUAAUGAAAUAAUUAAUCUAAUCCAUGCCACCACCAAACAUGAGGCAGGCAAAGGAACCGGCCGUGUGCUGCAGGUUGCACCGGCCGUAGUCCGUCAGCGCGCUCGCCAUCCCGGCGAUCGUCGCGGCGUCGCACCCCGGUGCCGCGUGCUGGGAGAUCAUCCCGGAGACGCGGUCGCCCUCCUCCGUGACCACGCCGCGCACCAGCACGCUCAGCGCGUCGCACCGGCACUGCAUCGGCACGGCGGCGAGCUCCCGGCAGCACGGCUCCAGGAACUCCCGCGGCGGCUGCUUGCGGGAGUCCAUGCGGCCCCCGGCGGCGGCGCACCACCGCGCGAUGUAGUUCCGGCACGACGGGACCGGGUUCCGGGACACCGCCUUCCCCACGCGGCAGUACUCGCCGACGUCGCCGUAGCCCGACGCCGCUGCCACCACGGCGGCGAGGACGGCGAGCACGAUGGCCGAGAGGACGAGCUUGUCUGAAGCUGAUGCCAUGAAUAUGUGAGCGUUGAUUUUUGCUAAGUUAAUUUUCUUGUUGAAUGCUUGGUACUGAAACGUAUUUGAAGCAAAAGAAAAGGACGUGAAGACAAACUCUCGAUCGAUCACUUUGCACCAUUUUUAGUUAAUUACCUUGUUUUUCUUGCAAGCUUUGUUAUAAAUUAAAGCUGGAUUGCAAUGAUAUUACCUUGUUUUUCUAGCUUGCAAGCUUUGUUAUAAAUUAAAGAUGGAUUGCAAUGAUAUUACCUUGUUUUUCUUGCAAGCUUUGUUAUAAAUUAAAGCUGGAUUGCAAUGAUCUUUUAUCUAAAAAUCACUUUUCGUUUUGUCUGGCUCGCACUGGUGACAUAUAUUGUAGAGUUUUGUGAAGAAACAGAAUUUUGGAAUAGCCGAAGGAUGUGUUCGCUUCAGGUUUAUAUAUUGGAUAGUUUUAUACGUGGACAUAUUGUAGUGUUGUGAAAUGGCUAGAGUCUAGAUCUACUUAUUUGAUAUCGUAUUGGAAAAAAAAAGGUCCUGAAAAGGUGAAAAGUUACAUGAUUGUUGCUUGCUAGUCAGGUCAGCUAGUUCAUUGGAACCGAAUAAAUCGUUCACUUAAUACCAUCAAAUCACAGGAUAUUUAGUUUGAUACCACCAAUAUAUUUUUGGCUUCACGGCUCGCCCUAUUACGAUUGAAUUGCCCCAAGUUUCAUGUGCAUACUACUGCAUUCAAUUUCACAUUUGUUCAUUAUUUUUUUGCAUGUUCACGUCGUUUCAAAAGAUAUAUCAGACACAUUAAUUGUUCAUGGAAAAUACGUAUGAAAGCUUGGAGUUUAUACCCCUCACUAUCAGACUUUAGAGCAAACCCUGUGGACUAUGAUGUUUUCUGACGUACGGGAAAAAUGAAUUUUUGUGAUGGGUUUAAAUAAAUGCACAGAGAAAUGAUAUUUCGCAACCUCAUAUACAUAUUUUUAGAAUUUAAACAGAAUUUAUUUUUAUAUCUGAUCAUAAUCUAUAUACGGCUUCAUAUGCGGUUUUUAUUAGUUUUAUAAAGGAAAAUAAACAUGCAAAAAAAGAUUUUUAAAAGCUAAGUUGAACUAAUAAACCAUGUAUGGAAGUUCUUAAAUGGAACAAAAGUCACGCAAAAGCAUGACUAUGUGGCUAGUUAUAUUUGGUGGCUGGAAUAUAUUUUCAACAUCAUGAGAAUCCCAAUUGUGCAAUGAUGUUUUGACAAUAGAGAUCUUACAGUUCCUGAGAAAGCAAUAUGUUAUGUAUAAAAUUUGGUACAAAACAUCAAGGACCAUAAAAUUUCUCAUCAUAAUAACCUCACUGUCACUGAUGACCACACUGAAGUUAUCAGUACUGCAGACUGAUAUUGGCCAGCCAUAUCAAAUAAUUGCAAUGAAAGAUGUAUGUAGUUCAAGUCUUCACAUAUUCGAACAAUCCGAAGGUUGGAUGAUCAAGGUAGCCACCAAACAACAUAAGUUACAUAUAUAUUUCACAUGGGAGGAAAUCCUCCCAAACGAGCAACCUAAAUAUUGAAGUGCAGAUUCAAGGCAAUUAAAUGACUUAAAGUGUACAUGUCCAUACAUAUAUACAAACCACAGAGUGUUUAACGACCAAGGAUCCUAGCUAUUUCCAGAAUACACUCACGAGGUAUCCCUACCCCAACAUGACAAACGUAACCUGUAGGGUUGGGAGGCAGUGGGAACCCAGCUUAUACAGCACAAGUAUCAACCCUAUGGGCAUAUGGAUCCUUUGCUAGGUUGCAAUGUCAGUGAACUGCAGACGGAUCUUCUCCAUGAGUAUACCGUGCCAGGUUUACAUGCUGCCAGUCCUAGAUUGGGUAGCUUGCGACUACAUCCAUUGGGGUAGCUUACUCGUGCUCUGCCACAUGAUGAAUCUCGUGCUCGUGCUCAUGCUCACGUACAUGUCCAAUGAAGGAUCUCUAAAUGCGUGCAAGUUGGUGGUUUUCAAAACAAAUAUUUAGAGGGCCACAUCUUGUUUUGAUUCAAUAGCUUGCAUACAAGGUUGGCUUUUGGGGUAUUGUGAAACUGAAAUUCUAGGGACGUACAUGUAUGAUGAUGUUCAAAGUAAUCACUAAGAUGAUUGGCUGCUAUACCAAACAACUAUAGUUCAUAGUAAUCACUAAGAUGAUUGGUUGCUAUACCAAACAAUUAUAGUUCAUAGGAAACUGCCAUAUAUAUGAAUAGUUCACGGUGCACAAAAUAAAUCAGGUACAUACUACAAAUUCAGAGAACCGGAGCGUGACUCUUCAUGAUGUACUGAAGUGCAUGCAUUCUAUCCAUUCUUAGAAUCUUCAUUUGCAAGUUAUUUUAAUCCGCUGGACUUUAAUUCCUAAAGAAGCCUGGCUUGCACAUGGAGCCGGAUGACACAACGUUUAACCGUGCUUAUAUUUCACUGGUACAUAUCUGGGCAUUCUUGACGAGCCAUCUGUGUUGGGCUAAUGCGACUCGUUUCGGAUAACUCAUCUCAACGGUUCAAAAAGUAGCCCAUUUAAGAUAUGAAUAUACAUGAAGACCUGUCAACGAUAUAAGGUCAUCUUUGUCGGGUCGUAUUUCUAAGACGUCGCGGAUUACCUAUAACAGGUCAUAACCAUGCCCAGCCACAGAUAACAUGCCAUCCAUGGUGGGUGUAAUGAGAUGACCCAUCAAAGAUGAGAGCACUCAUCCGUGACCUAUGUCUUAAUUACCACACUUAUCCGUGAAGGGAGGUAGUUAUGAACCAUCAAUUUACAUGUUAUGUAGACCUUGAUGAGAUCUAUAACUUCAAAACUGAGAACAUUUGAAUUUGAGACAGUUUACAUGCUCGAAUAUGCAUUAUAAGUGGAGAGAUCUAUUUUGAAUAACGUAUUUUUAAUUUUUUUUAAAUGAUCUUGGAUAGAAACAUGGCCUAUGUCAAAUUCAAAGGGUUUGAUGAGAUCUACAACUUUCUAAUUGACAAUAUUUUUCAUUUAAGAUUGUUUUCAUCCCCAAAUGUGUGUUAUAAGUGAUGUGAUCUAUUUCCAAAAUAUUUUUUGAAUUUUUCAAACGAUUUUGGAUGGAGACAUACCUUAUGAUAAAGUUGUAGAGCUCUCUGAGCUGCAACUUUGUAGUUAAAAGCAUUCUCAUUUAAAGUUAUCUAGAGUUUCAAAUUUAUGUUCCAUAUUCGGACAAGAAUAGUUAAGAGAAUAGCAUCAGAUGACCUAUCAACAUGUGGUCUCCAGGUGAGAUGGUAAGGUUGGUUUGCAUGUGGUGAGAGAUCUUAGGUUCGAAUCCCACAUAUGAAAUGCAUGAAUAUUAUCACUUGAAAUUCAUGAUUUUACAAACAACUGUCACGGAUGACUCUCAAUGUGACAGGUUGUAACUAGCAUCCGUUACAUCUUUUAUUUAGGCCUGACAAAGAUGAUUGCUAUCAGAGAUGGCUGCUGACCCAACAUAGAUGAGUUUUCACAUCACUGACCAAUAAUGCGUGACGAAGCAGCUCGUCAAGACAGAUGAGGGUCCCCGCCCGACAUAGAUAACUAUAUCCGCACUUGUGCUUUGUCCCUCAGUGAGUAAAAUAUAACCUGGUGUACAAGGCUAGAACACCAAGCCUUGCCAUUAUAAGAUGAUUAUCACCAAUCUAAACUUCUGAGGUGGUAUUGAAUCACCAAGUACAACCAAUUUGAGGCCACAUAUACCAGAAUUACACCACUACUACAUGUUGCUAAAGGAUUGGGUGUUACAAUCUUCUUCUACUAGGUGAUUCCACGCGCUUUGCUGCGGGAAUUACAAAGAAAUUCUUAGUAUUUUUUUUCACAAUCAAGCUAGAAGUAAAAAGAAAAAAAUAUUUGAACAUCAGGAUUUAUCAGUCAAAUGAUACUCGUGCUUCAGUGUGAAUCAUAUUGAUAAGUAUAUGUUAAAUAUUGUAAAAGUGAUAGAUAGAUUUGUAAAAAUAUUAUGCAAACAUCACUACAAAACAUCAAAUAGGUAUCGGUACUAUAUGUGCCGUAAAUACUGAAACCGGCACCUAUAAGUCUUUUCCCACUUCUGCAGGUUGAAAUCGCAAAAAAGGGCACCUUUAAGCAAUUAUAGGUGCCGGUUCUAAAUAAGAACUGACAUCUAUUCUAUAGGUGCCGGUUUUCUUAAAAAAACGGGUGUCGAUUAAUUAAAAAUUGAUACCUAUAAUAUGUUAUUGGUGCCGGUUUUUUAUAAAAAACCAUUACCUACUAAUUGAGCCGAGCUGGCAAAUCGAUGAGCCGGUGGGCCCCACCAGCACGAGAAGAAGAUAAGGUUCAACUCGCGUCUCCUGUUCUUCUCACUCCCAUCGUCAAUCUUUUACUCGACUCGCAUCCCCUCUCCUUCCCUCCCUUCUCUCCCAUGGCCGGUGGCUGCGCCCUCCCCUCCGCCAGAUCCAGUGGAAGGGGAGGCGGCGGGCGUCUGGCCAGCGGAGGCGGAGGCGGCCGCGACCUCCCCUGCCCUUUGCUUCCUCUGCCAGAUCCCGCGGAGGGGUGGCCCUAGGGCUGUCAACGAGCCGAGCUCGAGCGAGCUUACCAGUCUUGGCAUGAGCUUGAUAAAUAGUCAAACCGAGCUCAAGCCGAGCCUCGUCAGACUUCGAGCCUCAAGACAGGCUUGAGCUCGGCUCGUUCGAGCUUCGAGCUUUUGCCGAGCUUCGAGUGUGUUAUAUAGUGGGAAGUCAAUCCUUGUCCCACGCUGUUAGAAAGCCAAUAUUUGAAGCAGUAGUACUACUAGAAUAUGCUAUAGUACAUGCUAGCAACCAUACAUUACAGUUUACAUAUGCAGCUGUUACGGGAAAUGAGUGCACUCCAUUGAUGGCGAUGCACUCUAUGCCAUGCAUGCAGCCUUUGGCCGAGUUUAGUUCCAAACUUUUUCUUCAAACUUUCAACUUUUCCAUCACAUCAAAACUUUUCUACACACAUAAACUUCCAACUUUUCCGUCACAUCGUUCCAAUUUCAACCAAACUUCCAAUUUUAGCAUGAACUAAACACACCCUUUGUUGGUAUGUGUGCUUUGGUCUGUAUGCUUGCUGCCUGAAGUUAUUGAGAGCUAGCAAGUGGAAAAGUCCCAGCUAUUCGAGCUAUUCGAGCUACUCGAAAACGUCUGAUGCAAACAAGGUAGAGGGCAUGACAGCUUGGCCAGAACCAGCCAAUGUCAGAGAACAUCGAGGAUUUUUAGAGCAAAUGUGAGUGGCUGAGCUCGUCGAGCUAUUCGAGCUCGCUCGGUGAGGCUUGCAAGCCUGGAUACAAGCUCGGGCUCGACUCAUUUAGAGUUCGAGACGAGCUCGAAUUGAGCCCAAUGUGAAUCGAGGUCGAGCAGUUUGCGAGCUCCGAGCUUUUUUGGUAACCCUAGCUAGGGGGCCCAGCGGAGGAGGCGUCAUGCGGCGGCGGAAGGGAGGGGGCGGCAGAAGGGAAGGGAGGGGGGAUGCAAAGGCAGCGAGUGGCAGGAGGGAGGCGGCUGGAGGCCGCGGAUCGAUCUCUUCCCCUCCCUUCUUGUCCCUCCCUCUUUGUGUUUUGUAUUAUUUCCUCUUCGUGAUUUGUUCAAUGUGAUCUAAAUGUGUUUAUGGAUUUGAGGCAAUUUAGUUCAUGUGUUCAUGGUUUUGAUGCAAUAUUUGGGAUCGGCUUGACGGCUUGCAUCGACUCAAGCCGAUUUUUUUUGGCUCGUGUGCGCCUCAAAGGUGCCGGUUUUAAAACCGGCACCUUUAAUCUCCUGUGAUUUGUGCCGCCUUCGUGGUCCCGGUUGGGAAAACCGGCAUCGAAAGGAGUUUCCCAACCGGCACCGAAUCCCUAUUCUGUGGUAGUGAAAUGAUAUGACGGGUGAUUAUUAGAUAUGCUUGCAUUUUGAUUUGUAUCAUUAAAUAAAUUGUACAUCAUGUUCUAUGCUUGCAUGAGAUUAUGUAAUUAUUGCUAGUGGGUGAUGAUGUGGCACGGUUGCAUGUUGAGUUUUAGAUUUAAUAGGCUUUAACUUUAUACAAAGCAUAGAUAAGUGGAGGAUUAGUACAUACUAUAGGAGUUGAUCUUUGACUGAUAAUAAAGGGCUAGCCAGACCGAACCAUCCCAAACAUGGACAAUUCCCAUAUGAGCUAACUUACAUCAGACUAUCAGAGUGCAAGUAAAUGGAACAGCAACCAUAGUGGGAGGGCAGACUGUUUCAGUGAGCGUACAUAGGAUUAGGAGGCACUAGAAACCAAACAUACACACAUUCGGAAGUGAUGGAAAUCUGAUUGAACUCACAUAUAUAGGAUCAAAUUACAUAUCCCCAUGACCACCCCUCCUCUCUAUGCAGCGACGGCGGCAGGGGUGGAGAAGGACGCCGACUGCCAUCGUGUUUUUGAUGUUCUAGAUGUUAAUGUUUUUUAUGUCCCUGAAGUUCACGUGUUCACGUGUUCUUUGACCUUGUAUGUGUUCUUUGAUUCCUGUGGGGAUGAACUGGAUCUGCUCAAUGGAUCGGCUCGAAUCGAGUUAAUACAUUGAGCCGCUUUUUUAUCUUUAGGUUACUGGAACCUCAAGGUGUCGGCUCCUAAACCGGCACCUAUGAGAAUACGUCAAAGUUCCCAACUAAUGAGCCCCGAUUGGGAAAACACCACCGGAUCUGGCGGAGGGGAGGACGCAGGCGCCAUCGCUGCCUCCCAUCUCGCCGCCUCCCCUGUGGCCAGAUUUGGUGGAGGGGAGGUCGUGGCCGCCGCCACCGCUGCCUCCACCGGACUGCCGCCGCGACAGAGAAGCGAGAGAGAGAGGGACAAAGAGAGGCGAGAGAGAGAGAGAAAGAGGGAGAGAGAGGGAGAGAAGAGAUAGGGCCGCAGAUGCGCGCGAAGUGGAUAAGGCCCGUGCUCGGCUCGGUUUGGUAUAGGUGACGAUUUUUUAAAAGAUCAUGUCGGUUUUUAACUAACCGACACUUAUAAUAUAUUAAAGUUAUCUUGUUUUAGAAAAAAAAGCACAUAUAUGUAGUAUAGGUGCAUUUUUUUUCUUUAGAACCAGCACCUAUAGUCGCUUAAGGGUGCCGGUUUUAUAUGUUUUCAGCUCAUGGGGAGAGAAAAGCACUAUAGGAGGUGUUGGUUUUAGCUUUUCCGGCACCUAUAAUUUUGAUCUCUACGUGUUUUUUUAAGUAGUGAUAAGUUAAAUCUUUAGCUACAAUUAUUCUUUAGAAUAUAGGUUUUCGGCAUAUCAAUUCAACAUAGCAUAGCUGGUUUGAAUAAAAGCUUUCACAUUAUUAAUAACUCCUUUUUGAUGUUUUUGAAAUUAAGUGCUCAAAGUUAUAUUCUUAUAUAUUGAUCUCUUGGAAAAGUCUCCAAUCGAUAUUCUUUAGUGAACAGGUUGGAGUAAAAUUGUAAUUUAUUGAAACUAGAAAUUGAUAGGUACAAAUUACUAUGUUAUGGAUCAACCUUAAGAUUCAUGGUUGCAACUUCUGUGUUUUGUAAUGGAUAAUUAAGUACCGAUUAAGUAUGCAGCCUUCACUACUAUACAAUAAUACAAAAAUAAUGGCCAUUGGAACCGACUUAUCCAUGGAUAGUUCAGACUAUGUCACUAGCGGUUUUCUUAAGGAAUCAUCUGUGAAAAAUAUUUUUUACAUGUGGAGAAUAAAUGUACCUUCAGGGCUGAGGCCACCCUGGGCUCGUCACAGCAGGGUGCACCUUUUAUUAACCUACGUAAAAGAAUUAUUACUCGGGACUAUGAAAGUAAAUUUUAUAGUAAUGCUUGUAUGUCUAAUUAUUUUUGGACCAUCUUCUUAUGAUUGAAGCAACCAGAAAAUUAAUUAGAGUUUGCCUGAUAUUUAAGCGAUCAAGUUCCGUAAAUUUUAAACUACAUUUUUGUUGGAAAUAUGGUCAUAUAUCGGCAUAUUUUAAUCCAAAAUAUUAAGACAAUAACCAUGGCAUGAACAAUGUGGGGUGAUCUAGUGAUAAAAUCUAACAUAACUAGGAGCAUGCUUAAGAUAUAAUAAGCAUCAUGAUCAUACAAUGAACGCAAUAGAAUUGCGACUAACAGAGGUAUCAAAAGAAUUAACAGUAAGCGAAGGUUAUACCCUGUGAAUAUCCCUCCGCUGGAUUGUGAGGCAGAACUGCCUCCGUUGAUGUUGUCGUUCGCAACGGCUCCGGCUCCCGGUGCGCCUCCAUCUCUAGGAGCGGCAGCUGCGGUGGCACCAGACAUGGUGUAGCAAACGACGACGACGAACAGAAGACGAGGAGCAGUCGUGCGGAAGCACUCCCCAAAAACCUGAUCACCCGCCUACCCGGUGCAGAUCUCAGGCGAAGGUGUGGUUCCGGAGGCCCUGCUCGUUCCGAUCUCUCGUGCGCGCAAGCGAUCAAAAGCGGGGAAGCAGAACCGUAGCAGCACAGCCGUGCGCAAGGAGGAUGAGGAAGAACACCAGAUGGAAAGUAAGCCCGGAAUCUUAUCGGAUUAGAUCUUUCCUUAUAACGCAGGAGCGAUAUCCGGCCGUUGCCGCAAUAACGACGUGAUCAAUUGGAAUUGAAUCGCCUGCCCGUUACGGAGGCAAUCUCGGGAUUGGUCCAUUGCAAAAGAAUAUUAAGACAAUAAUCAUGACAUGAACAAUGUGGGGUGAUCUAGUGAUAAAAUCUAACAAAACCAGGAGCAUGCUUAAAAUAUAAUAAGCAUCAUGAUCAUACAAUGAACGCAAUAGAAUUGCGACUAACAGAGGUAUCAAAAAUUGAAUUAACAGUAAGCAAAGGUUAUACCCUGUGAAUGUCCCUCCGCUGGAUUGUGAGGCAGAACUGCCUCCGUUGAUGUUUUCGUUCGCAGCGGCUCCGGCUCCUAGUGCGCCUCCAUCUCUAGGCGCGGCAGCUGCGGAGGCACCAGACAUGGUGUAGCAGACGACGACGACGAACAGAAGACGAGGAGCAGUCAUGCGGAAGCACUCCUCAAAAACCUGAUCACCCGCCUACUCGGUGCAGAUUUCAGGCGAAGCUGUGGUUCCGGAGGCCCUCCUUGUUUCAAUCUCUCAUGCUCGCAAGCGAUCAGAAGCGGGGAAGCAGAACCGUAGCAGCUGUCACGCCCGGAAUUUCUAUCCAAAAUUCCAAACGCUUACAUGUGUGUUAAACUCUCGUCCAGGAAUCAACCGAGGCACACAAUGACAAAUUGAUAAUAGAGUACAAAUAAAUAACUAUUUAAUAUUCGCAAAUAAUAAAAGAUUACAGAGGUAGAUAGUUCCUCUCAAAGAAUAACAUUUUACGCAGCGGAAAGAUAAAACUAUAACAAACUACGGAACAGCUAUGGCGACUCCACUCCACAGGCAUCUUAACCAAGAACAAGCCUAAUCCUCCAGAUCAUCACCUUCACUGAGAUACUCGUCUUCUGAUGAAUGAAUAUUACAAGAAUGAGCAUAUGACAUACUCAACAAGUCACACAGCAAAUAUGCAAGUGCACAGGAUAACAAAGGAUGGCAUAAUAUAGCUCAUUUGCAGAAACAGCAUUUAAUAAAUAUUUAAGAGAAUAGUAAAAACAGUUGAAUAAUUAAUCAAUAUUAAAUAACACCAUACAACACACCCAUGUUGCAUAGGCCCAACCACAUUUGAACAACCAACCCCAGUUGAACAAAUUAAACCUCCAAACCAGGAAUUAUCCAUUCCAAACCAGGAGCCAAAUUAAUUAUCACAUUAUUAACAUUGAUGAGUAGUGUGAGACUAAUCACGAAAAACAUUGCUCAACUCACCCAUAACCGCGGGUACGGCUAUUCGAAUAGUUUAAACUCUGAUCAGAGGUGUACCACUGUACCCACAAGACACAACCCCACAUCAUGUCACCAUGUGCCUCAAUACCACCACGGUACCUCGGAAAGGAGUUGUGACAAUACCCCUUGCACAACAUAACCCAUUACAGCGCACCUUUCCUGGAUCAUAAUCACCCCCUUAUAAACAAGGCAUGGACUCCCCAGCGACCCCCGUGGACUUCUCGCCACUUCUCAGUCUGGCGCACUAUAAUGAAUCACGCUAUACAAAAGAUAAAGCCGUUGCCCACGCUGGCUUGUGAUUGGCACGAUAAAUGUUUCACAACAGUAGCUCGCGAACCGGUCCUUAAUUGUCAUGAGCACAACCAUCAAAACCAUAUGCUCACAACCCACCUUAACCAGGCUUUAAUUAUCAAUUAAUUAACAUCACACGAUUAACCAUCGUGAGCGACCAUUAAAUAUAACCAUAAUAAUAAGAAUAAUAUAAUAUAAUUUAUAUUUAAUCCCCUUUAAUUAGCUAAUGUUUCUAAGCAUGGCUAAGCAAACCUACAUAUAACAUUUAGCUGAACCAAUCCAAUAUAUAAGGUUCAUGCUAAUCAAAUUAUGACCCAUAGGAAAAUAAAGUCAUCUUCGGCCAUUAUUUAAUUGGGAAAGGUUCACCACCCGAUGACAUUCGAAAACAAUGCAUAGUUGAAAUAAAAUAAUAGCUUUAAACGGGUUCAACAUGCUCAAAGGGUUGUUUGGGAUCUGUGUGACUUGCCUUGGGCUUCCGCAAACGCUUCGGAACCUUCCUCAACGGAAACGCUCUCCUCCGGAACGUCAGAAACUAAAGCAAUUAAACAAAAUCAACAAAACAGUACAAAAACAAGCAUAAACAGUACAUGUGGAUAUUUUUAACAUGUAGAUCUUGAUUUUAGAAAAAUUUAGCAACUUGAACCACCUGAAACGGAUCUACGGUUAUUUAGUUAUGAUUUUCCGAAGUUUUAAUCUAUUAGAAAAUCGGGAAAAAGGAAAACUGAUGACGUCAGCAUGACGUCACCUACGGAGGCCGGCUAGGGUUGGCGACCUCGCCGGAGCUAGGGUGGUCGGCCGCGGAUUUGGAGGGCAUGUACACGUAGAGGACGACGAGACGAACCCAACGGUACUCACCACAACGACAAACGACGAACGACGACGGCCGGCAACGAGAAGGGCGACGGCGGCGGCUCGGUUGACCGGCGGCGGCGAGCUACGGCGGCCGGCGGCGAAAGGGGACGGGCGGCCGAGGUUCCCCUCACCACGGCGCACCUAACGGCGGCGGCGGCAAGCGGCGGCGACGACGCAAGCGGCGGCGCGGCGGCGCCGAAGAUGACCGGCGGCGGCGGCGAGCUAGACACGCGCGGCGGCGACACUACGGAGCACGAGAGAGCUCGGGAGAUGGGGAAAACGAAAGAGGGCGACGAGGUGGUCCUAUUUAUAGCCUUGGAUUGAAGAGAUCGGACUCCUCCCGCAAGAAAUCGACUCGGGAAAAUCUAAACUCGGUUUUUGGGGAUAAAUUCGAAACGAACUCGAUUCGGAGAGAAUACUCAACGAUUUGCUCCGAAUCUUGGGGGUAAAGAUAGAGGAGAAAGUGGGGAUAAAAACCCCUCAAAAACCCGGAAGAAUCGGGGUCGGAUUGGAGCGGAUUUGGAGGCGGAAGGCGGCUCGGUCGGGCUUGGCAAGCGGCGGCCGGCCGGAGGUAGGAGAAGGGCCCGACAUGUGGGCCCCACAUGUCGGUGUCCCACGUGAGGGAGGGGUGGGCGGCUCGGCUUGAGCCGACUCGGGCAGCGCUGGGCCGGCUUGGGCCGGCUUGCCCGCGGGAGAGAGGAAAGAUGUUGGGCCAAAAACGGCCCAACGGCUUUAGGGAGGGGUUUUGGAACUUUUAAAAUUAAAAUAAUUUGUGAAAUGUUGUUUCAAUUAUUAAAAAUACUUCCCUUGCUCAAAUAAUUUCCAGAAAAAUCUAGAAAAUAGAGGAGCAAGUAUAGUAUUUAAUAAAAUUUUAUCUAGCUCAUUUUUAUGUUGAAAAUUUUCCUAGAUAAUUAGGGUUUAGUUUGUAGGCUUUUAAAAUAAUUUCUAAAAAUGAUUUAAACAAUGUAUUUUUACAUUAGGCGAUUUUUAGGGCGUGACAAACCUACCCCCCUUAAACGGAAUCUCGUCCUCGAGAUUCAGAAGAACUGGCGAACAGAUGAGGAUGAGUUGACUUCGAUUCAUCUUCUCGCUCCCAAGUGGCUUCCUCUUCUGAAUGAUUGCUCCACUGAACCUUGCAGAACCGUAUAACGUGAUUCCUGGUAUUCCUCUCACUUACUUCCAAAAUUCUGACUGGCUUCUCAACAUAAGUUAAAUCUUCUUGAAGCUCUAUACGAUCAGGAUCUGCUUCCUCCGUAGGUACACGUAAACAUUUCUUCAACUGAGACACGUGGAAUACGUCAUGUAUUCCCGCCAUUGACAGAGGCAACUCUAACUGAUAAGCUACUUCACCUUUUCGACUCACAAUCUUAAAAGGUCCCACAAAACGCGGUGCCAAUUUCCCUUUGGUCUGGAAACGAUGAACACCUCGUAACGGCGUAACCCGAAGGUAUACAUAAUCUCCUUCUUCGAAAGCCAAAUCUUCAAUGCAUGCACCACAGCUGCCAAUUCUAGGUCAUGCGUUGGGUAGUUAUUCUCAUGAGGACGUAAUUGCCUAGAUGCAUAGGCAACCACCUUUCCUUCUUGCAUCAACACACAACCCAAACCGAGUCGGGAUGCAUCACAAUACACUUGGAAACCUUUCCUCGAAUCAGGCAAAAUUAAUACAGGCGCAGUCACUAGCCUUUUCUUCAAUUCUUGGAAACUUUGUUCACAAUCCUCUGUCCACUUGUACUUCACUUCCUUCUGAAGCAGACGAGUCAUUGGUCUGGCGAUCUUUGAAAAGUUCUCAAUAAACCUGCGGUAAUACCCUGCAAGUCCAAGGAAACUACGAAUUUCGGAAACCGUCUUGGGUUGCUUCCAACUUAACACUGACUCCACAUUGCUUGGAUCUACUGCCACUCCACCAGACGAGAUGACAUGACCAAGAAACUUCACUUCGGACAACCAAAAUUCACAUUUACUGAACUUGGCAUAAAGCUGAUGCUCACGUAGUUUCUCUAAAGCUAGACGAAGAUGCUCUUCAUGUUCUUCCUUUGUCUUGGAGUAAAUAAGAAUGUCAUCAAUAAACACCACGACAAACUUAUCCAGAUAUUCCAUAAACACCUUGUUCAUCAGAUUCAUGAAAAAGGCUGGGGCAUUAGUGAGUCCAAAUGACAUAACGGUACAUUCGAACAAACCAUACCGAGUUGUGAAGGCGGUCUUUGGUAUAUCUUCCUCACGGAUUCGAAGUUAAUAAUAUCCAGAACGGAGAUCUAUCUUGGAGAAAACUGUAGCACCUUCCAGUUGAUCAAACAGGUCAUCAAUUCUGGGUAGAGGAUACUUAUUCUUGAUAGUAACCUCAUUCAACGCUCGAUAAUCCACGCACAUUCUCUAAGUAUGAUCUUUCUUCUCCACAAAGAUGACUGGUGCUCCCCAUGGCGAAGUACUGGGUCUGAUGUAUCCUUUCUGAAGCAAAUCAUCCACCUGUCUCUUCACCUCAGCUAACUCAUUAGCUGCCAUUCUGUACGGUCUCUUAUGGAUAGGGUUGGUUCCAGGUACCAAGUCUAUCCGAAACUCUAUGUCUCUCUUAGGUGGCAUACCUGGCAAAUCCUCGGGAAACACGUCUGGGUAGUCUUGUACUAUGGGGAUCUCUUGUAGAGCAACUUGGUUUAAGAUCACACCAUGAGAUUUAGGAGAGGACACAAAGAAAGAAACUGUUUCCCCAUUGCUAUUGGUUAAAGUCACCUUACGGUUGGCACAAUCUAUAACUCCUCUGUGACGAGAUAACCAGUCCAUCCCUAAGAUAACAUCUAGAUCUUUGGAUUCUAGCAAGAUAAGCGAGGAUGGGAAAGGAACUUCUUCUAUUUCUAUAGUAGCGGAAGGACAAUACUGUGUCGAAAAUACUUGAUUGCCUGGGGUAUUAACUAGUAAAGGUCUCCCAAGACUAAUAACUUCCAUCCCAUGAUUGCUCGCAAAACUUUUAGACAAAAAAGAAUGCGUAGCACCGGAAUCAAAAAGCACAGAUGCGGGUAUAGAGUUAACAGGAAACGUACCCAAAACCACAUCUGGUGCAUUCUGAGCUUCUGCUGCUGCAACAUGAUUAACACGUGCCUUUGGUGCUGGAGCAUUGGAGUUAUUCGGGGCUGGAGCGUUCUUCACGCGCCGAGGCUUAGGACACUUAUCAGCAUAAUGUCCUGGAUCACCACAAUUGAAGCACACCCCUGGCUUGCUUCCCUGUUCCUUCCUGACGGGCUGGUUCUGAGCUGGAGUUGCUGCAGGACGAGCAACCAUGUUGCGGUUGUCAUUACCACGAUUACCAGUAUUGUUGUUGUAGAACUGGCGUUGGGGGCGGACAACUGAUGAAGAUCCUCCUUGAGGGUACGAUGGAGCUUGAGGUCCCGUAACGAGACGCGGCCUCUGGUUACUGCCCUGUUGUGCCUUGAAUUGGGCAGCCCUGCGCUUCUUCUGCUCCAUCCGGUUAUACUUGUCUUCCUGACGAAUCGCCUUGUCCACCAACUGCUGGAAAUCCCGGAAAUCCGUAGACAUCAAGGCAUAAGACAACUCAUCAUUCAGUCCCUCCAAGAACUUCUCCUGACGCUCUUCAUCGGUGCGAACAUCUUCCGGAGCAUAACGAGCUAAACGGUUGAAAUCAUGGAGGUACUCGGUGACCGAACGAGAUCCUUGGUUGAGUGCUCUAAAUUCUCUCUUCUUUAGAGCUACAACACCCGUUGGUAUAUGUGUCUUUUUGAAAGCGGCCGUGAAUUCCUGCCACGUAAUAGGCUCUCCUUCAGCCCUGCCUUGGCGAAAAUGAUCCCACCAUUCAGCAGCAGGUCCAUGCAGUUGAUGCGAAGCAAAAGAAACUUUCUCCUGCUCAGUACACUGGAUCAAGUCCAACUUCUUCUCCACCGCAUGCAGCCAAUCUCCUGCUUCUACUGGAUUGGUAGUGCUUGAAAAGGUAGGGGGUCUCACACGUAAGAAAUCUGCCAGCUUGUUUUGGGGAGGUGGGGGUGGAUUCUGGUUCUGAUUGUUUGCCUGCUGAUUCUGUGCCUGCUGCACUAACAGAUUGAUCAGCUGUGUUUGUUGGGCCAGAAUCUGAGCUAGCGUGGGAUCUCCUCCAUUGUUAGUAGCUCCACUUCCACUUCCACUUCCACUUCCAGUGCGCGUGUUCACCAUCUGACGAUAAGCAGAGACAACAGGAAAGAACGACAGAGAGACACCCUUAGAACGGAGUUAUUUAAUUAAUUUAAAUUCUAUAUUGCUCUUAACUGUGUAUGAUUACAUUUAAGUUGCAUUAACACUGUCUCACCAACUAUCUUACACUCUGACAAGCAAAAGAACUAGACUCAUGCUGUUACAUCCCACCAAUGAUGUAAGCAACAAGUAAAACCCACACACUCACAAGCAAACUUAAACAAACAAUCUAAUCACAGUGAACUACGGCAACGAUCUAACUAAGCGACUAAUCCCGCCUUGCGUCGGAACGAAGCGAUGGAUCUUCUUCCUCUGGAGUAGCUGGCUCUCUUUCUUCAGGGUCUUCCUCCUCUUCCUCAUCACUUAUGAUGUCGAUGACAGGUUCAGCACGAUCGGGCACAGCUUCACCCAUCACGCGAAUCUUCGAAGCUAACUGGAGACGAGGUGGCGGACAGGUUCUCUUUCUUGCAGUGAGGCGAAGCUUGGGUGUUGGCGGCGGCGUUUCUCCUUUAAGUUCAGCUAAUUCCUUCUGUAGACGGUACACCUUGCUCUCCAACUUGCAAAUCUUGCCUCGAUUCCAGUUUUCCCUGUCAUGAGCUGCUUUGGCUCGCUCCACACUUACUGCAUCCAUAGCACUAAGCAUAUGCACCGCAUGCAUCAGAGUGGCACUCUCUUCACCAUCAGGACAGGUAUAGGUUCCAUAGUCUUGACCAUGAGGCUUGUGAGGAUGAUACUGGAAAGCUGAUGAAUCCAACUCUUCUUAUUUAUUUCUUCUGAUUAUUAUUAUCAUCACAUUCACGGAGAAAGCAGCAUCCAAACAUGAUAGAUGCUACUAGCAAAUAUCGAUAAUUAAUUAUCCAGUAACCCGGAUAACUAAUUAAAUAAUUAAUUAAGCAAAGGCCUAAUUAAUUAAUUACUAAGGAAGUUAAUCCAUGCCACCCCCAAACAUGGGGCAGCCAAAGAAACCAGUGUGCUGCAGGUUGCACCGGCCGUAGUCCGUCAGCGCGCUCGCCAUCCCGGCGAUCGUCGCGGCGUCGCACCCGGGCGCCGCGUGCUGCGAGAUCAUCCCGGCGACGCGGUCGCCCUCCUCCGUGACCACGCCACGCACCAGCACGCUCAACGCGUCGCACCGGCACUGCAUCGGCACUGCGGCGAGCUCCCGGCAGCACGGCUCCAGGAGCUGCCGCGGCGGCUGCUUGCCGGAGUCCAGGCGGCCCCCGGCGACGGCGCACCACCGCGCGAUGUAGUUCCGGCACGAUGGGACCGGGUUCCGGGACACCGCCUUCCCCACGCGGCAGUACUCGCCGACGUCGCCGUAGCCGCCGUAGCCCGCCGCCGCUGCCGCGACGGUGAGGACGGCGAGCACGAUGGCGGAGAGGACGAACUUGUCUGAUGCCAAUGCCAUAGCUAUACUUCGAUGAGCUUUGAUUUGCUUGUAAUUUAGAAAAUUUAAUUUUGUUCUUGAUCACUUGGGAUUGGGAGUGCAACGUAUUUGAAGUAUGAGAAAGGACGUGAAGACAAACUCUCGAUCGAUCACUUGUACCAUUUUUAUUGAUUACCUUGGUUUUCUUGCAAGCAUUCUGAUAGAUUAAAGGUGGAUUGUGAUGAUCUUUUAUCUAAAAGUUACAUUUCUUUUUCUCUGGCUCGCACUGGUGACACAGAUCGAGCUCACUGGAUAUUGUGGAGUUUUGUGAGCUUUGAAGAAACAGAAUUUGGAAAAGCCGAUGGAUGUUUUUGCUUCUGGUUUACACAUAGGAUAAUUUGAUACUUUCACAUUUAUGAUUGUAGAGACUCAUUUGAUAUCGUGUUAGAAAAAAAAAGUUCCGAAAAGGUACAAAGUGGUUGUUGCUUGCAAGUCAGGUUAGUUAGUUCAUUGGAAAGGAAAAAAGAAUCGUUCAAUUAAUACCAUCAAAAUACAGGAAGUUUAGUUUAUACCACCCAACAUUUUUGGCUUCACUCCUCACUUUAUUACCGUCGAAUUUCUCCAUGGUUCAAGAACAUACCACUGCCUUCAAUUUCUCCAUUGUUUUGUCCUAUUUCACCCUUCUCUUAGGAACUGAAUUGCAUCGUAAUACCCCUGCUCUGCUAGCAUACGAAUUAUAUAUAUAUCCUACCACAAUUGUAUAAUAGUCCCCCAAAAGACCUUGCCUCUUCGUCUCAUGCUCAUCUGAUUCAGCUUCUGCACGAUAGGCUAAUCUAAGUUAUGUUGAUGGACAACUACCUCACCAUUACGUGUUAGGGUUAGGAUGCAUCGGAAACGAACAUAGAUGUUCGUCCAGUGUUUGCGCAUUAAUCAAGAUAAACUUCGCUUGCAACAUCACAAGGAGGUGGAGAUGAGGAUAUAGCCAGAGCCGUUGCACGAAACACAAACCAUCAGUGUCAGAGUAUGUAGCCAAUGUAAGAGGUCGGUCAUGAUUCUUGAAGCCCUGCGGUACUUCCUAUUGAAAGAGAUGGAGGCGGUAUGUAUAGCUGAUUGAUCCGUUUGUUGCCAUAGGAGCAAACUUCUCUUUAUCCCCCUUGACUCUUCAAACACCUUUGAUAAGGUCUUUGCUAGAAGACUAGAGCACUAGACAAAAAAACAAUGGGAUUCACAUGUUCUUGGUAGUUUGGCCAAUUUGGUGUCUUCUCGGCAUAGCAUGGGCGACCUUCGGCAUUGAAAAUACUUUCUUGGUGCUUGCAGCAGAAGAGGAUCCGUGCAUGUAGGUGGCAGUGCUGGAUGUUUCCACCGAGUUGCGGAGCAUUCGCAUGGGCAGAGUCACAACUGCCUAACUAGGUGGCAAGCUCAGCAACAAUAACCACCUACUUAUGCUAUGGCAGCAUGGUUUCAUGUGGUUGGAGAAGCGGUGUAGGCUCUAUGUUGCCGUGUCAUUUUUUGAGUGGGAGCUGUUGUGCCGUGUGGUGAUUCACACCCAGAAAUUUUUCCUUUUUUCAGACCAAUUUGUGUAUUAAAUCCUUGUUUAGGAAUCAACACAAGGUACAUCAAAUGACAUGUUAUUGUACAUAUCCAAACAUAAAUAAAGCAUAAAUAUUUACAAAAGUGACAAUUAGUCCUCAUACCGAAAAGAAUGCAACGGCGGAAAAGGACUAUCCUAGUGGGUGUUUAGCUUCAGUCCACAGGAGUACUCAACUAGGGUACAACGCUUGAUAUUUUAACUCCGUCUUCAUCACAGAGGCACUAAAAAUUUGAGAAUAGAAAAUUAGGCAAGGCUAAGUACCAACCACUGUACUCAGCAAGCAACACCAAUGAUGUAAUUGUGCAAGGGGAAACAAAGAUAGUAGUCUUUUGUAUCAUGAUCUACUCUUUUGGAUAAAGACAAUUGUAAAUAUUUGUAGUUAAAAAUAGUAAAAUAUUUGAUUAAUUAAGAAAAGAUUAGUCUCCACUUAACAACGGUACAACACAUUGAACAAGCCCAACCAACCACCUCCUCAUAACCCUUCCCUAACCAUUGACACCCCACACUGCAUGUUUCGCCACCAUCCCUAAAAUCAGGAUGGACAACCCCUUCAUUAUGCCACGGUUAAUCUGGAAGCUGCUUAGACCAUCCUGUUCAACCAAACUCCUUCACGGCCACACUCGCUUGUAUACCUAUGAAAGGGGAGAGCUAUACUAAAAGGUUAGCAAUUACACCUAUUGGUUUGUGGUAAGUACGGUAAGUCUUUCAGAGAUUCCCGCAAAAAGGUCCAUCAUUAUCAUGGGUGCGAAAAAUUAAAACCAUGCAUCCAUAGUCUAUCAUUAAGACAUAUUUUAGUUGGACAAAUUAGGACCAACAAAUAAUGGUACAAUAUCUCGAGCUUGAAUUAAGCUCGUCAAUAUACAAAUUAUGAGUAAAGUGAUUAUCCCAUUAGAUGAACUAAGUAUGGCUAAGCAUAGCUUGGUCAACAUAAUUAACCCAAGCUGAUAAAAUUAUUAUACCCAAGGAUUGAUAAGGAGUGGAUACCAAGUAAAUUGGCGUUAAGCAAGUGGAUUUAGUAAUCCCGUAUCCCACGUAAUUAGCAAUAUAUAUAUAUAUAUAUAUUAUUUCUAAAUGGCAACCAUUUCAUAAAGUAGGUUAAACAUAUUCAAGCAGGGAACGUGUGACUCACCUUGCUUCUUCAAUUAAUCUAGCUUCCAUAUGCUUUUUCCUUGCGGUCGCAGUCCUCCAGAUUGGCUAAAUUUAGAGUUCAUAUAAAUUAGUUACGAAGUUUUAGAAGUUUUAAGCCAUUUAAAUCAACUACUGAAAUUAUAUUCGAUUUACGUCAACAGUAGGGACGGCGCCGACCAGAACACGGCCUUCCCCACGCGGCACUACUCGCCGACGUCGCCUUAGCCACCAUCACGGCGGCGAGUUCGAUCGAACAGCAUGAUUGCCGAGAAGACAAGCUUGUCUAAUGCUAAUGUGAUCACUAGUUGACUUGAUGAGCUUUGGUUAGCUAAUUAAGAUUAAUUUUGUUCGUGAUGACUUGAUAUUGCAACGUAUUUGAAGCAAGAGGAAGGACGUCAAGACAAAUUCGACCGAUCACUUGUGACAAAUUCAAUGAAUUAUCAUGUUUUUCUUGCAAGCUUUGUUAUAAGUUAAAGCUGCAGGAUAUUGUGAUGAUCUUUUAUCUGAAAAGUACAUUUCUUUUUCUGUGGCUCGCACUUGUGACACAGAUUGAGCUCACCACACAUUGUAGAGUUUUGUAGCUUUCGAAAAAAAAAGUGAAAAACAGAAUUCGGAAGGUCCGAUGGAUGUGUUGCUUUCUGGCUUAGGCCAUUCCCAACCUAAUAACUAAGAUGGUG
Molecule: long non-coding RNA, 68226 nt
Filed under: Oryza sativa (Asian cultivated rice)
Lineage: Eukaryota; Viridiplantae; Streptophyta; Magnoliopsida; Poales; Poaceae
Description: long non-coding RNA (OSAT_LNC001298)
Source: RNAcentral